RNAcentral lists this long non-coding RNA (46716 nucleotides) under Olea europaea (common olive). RNAcentral's name for it is "long non-coding RNA (OEUR_LNC011250)". Lineage: Eukaryota; Viridiplantae; Streptophyta; Magnoliopsida; Lamiales; Oleaceae. The record is from RNAcentral.
CCUUAUACCCUUUCCAAGCCUCAUAGUAGCACUCUAAGUCAAGCUAAGAGAAUGUAGUGAUUUCAUCCCUCAAUUUGGUAAUAUUUUUAGAUGGGAAAUAUUUGUUUAGGAAUUUCUGGUUCAGACUAUUCCAACUGAUGAUGCUGUGGAGGAAAAAUAUCUAACCAUUCUCUAGUCGAGCCUCUCAAAGUGUAGGAAAAAAGCCCUAGCCAAAUUGCACACAUGUCUAGAAAUCUGAGAUAUGAGCAUUAGGAUUUUCGAUUGCUCUCUCAAAGAAUUGUUGUACAUUCUAGAAAAUACCGAUCACACCCGUCCUCAAAUGAAAAUUUGCUUGACCAAAUGCUGAAGAUACUAUACUGGAUUGGCAUUCCAAGACUGGUAGAACCAUAUACUCUCCUGUUAACCUGGCAUUCUCAUUCCCAACAGACACAAUUGGAUGUGCUGCUUAUUCAUCGCCAUGAUAGCAAUUUGAUCUUGAUUUUGUUCUGCCAAGAGCUCUACAUUCUUUUUUGGUAUGCUUCUAACUGUUUUCUUCUCUUCAAUCUAAAUGUUUGUUCAAUUUUUGGGUCAAAAUGAGAAAAAUCUCCAGUUCUUGAACUUUGAAUACAAAGUCCUGAAAAGGAAAAAUAGAAAACACUAUAAUAUUUUUCUAAUAAUUGAAAUUAACUAAAUAAGCAAUAAAAAAAAAUCAAAGUAAAGCUAUCCCCAGCAACGACAUCAAAAGCUUGAUCGUUUGAUUUUUCGCAAGUGAGCGGGAUCGUGAACAAGUAAUAAAGUAGUGAACAGCGCAUUGAACUCAAGAGGACUUGAGUUAAAAUUAGUUGCAACUUUAAUUGAAUAGCAACUAGUUGUUGUAAUUUUUUCUAAAUAAUUCCUAAAUUAUUAAUAAAACUAGUGAAAACGAGUAAAUGUGUUUUUCAAACUCAUAAACUACUGCAAAAUGAAAUAAAUAAAGGGUAGAAACGUUGGGUUGCCUCCCAACCAGCACUAUUUUAUAGUAGAUAGCACGACUUUUGGCACAGGUGUUUUAUGGCACUUUAAAUAUGGCUUGGGAUGUCCUGUGUAGUUUGCUCAAUAUGGUCUUAUUUUGUACUGUAGUUAUCCUCCGAAUUUCAUCCCUGUCCUUCUCAAAGUGAUGUGACUUUAUCUCUUCAUCCGUAUGAAAUCCCACAUUGAAUGCCUUAAUCUUCCUUGAAUCAGUAAGAGUGGAUAGAGAGUGCACUACAUAGGUCUCAUGAAUGUCUAGCUAUUUCUUUAAUUCUCAAUGUGAUGUGACUUUCUCUCCUCGUCCGUAUGAAAUCCCACAUUGAAUGCCUUAAUCUCCUUUGAAUCAGUAAGAGUGGAUAGAGAGUGCACUACAUAGGUCUCAUGAAUGUCUAGCUGUUUCUUUAACUCAAAAUUAUAGGGAAUUCAUAUGUCAACCACUUCAAUCUGGAAACAACUUUCUUCAUGUUUACUUAAGAAAUUCGAAACUAAAUUUUUUUCUUUUUAUUUUAUUCUUGGUCAUCUUUUCAGUUGCUUUCUAUAUAACCAUUGUAAUGAGUUUUAGGCCGAUGAUUCCCAAACCAAUUGGUUUUAGGGUAUUAGGUUUUAGACCCUUGUAGGCUUAUUUACUAGAGUUAUAAAGGCUCGAUUAGAUGACUUUUUAUUAACUUCUCUCCUUCUUACUUUCUAUAUAACCUCUUUGGUGAACUUUAGGCCAGUGACUCCCAGACCAGUUGGCCUUAGGGCACCAAGUUUUAAAAUAACCUUACAGACUUACUUACUCAGUCAUAAAGGCUUAGGAAGAAGUGUUAUUUUUGCACAAAUUAGUUUAUGCCCAUCUUUGUUUUUCUAGACAUUCAGUUUCCAAAACCAACCCUCAACUUAAGACUUUCACCUAGUUUUCACCUUAUUGGUCUUAGGCAAUCCAUACAAUAUAAUUUCAUGCACGGAGCCUCUCUACCUAUCUCAAAGUUCCCCUGUAAUUGAUCAACCAUCUCCAGACAUUCUUGAAAUAGUUAUUGGUCAACACAAUAUAGGUUUUUCUCAGUUUCUCCUACUUCAUUCAAGAACCCCAUCACUUACUUAACAUGUAAAGCAUGAGUGUGUGCAUAAAGAUUGUCAAGUACCACAUCAACAAAUUCAGGUUAAUGUUGUUCUGCAUCAUAUCACAGUUCCCAGUAUCUUUUCUAAUAAUCUCAUCAUAAUCGGUAAGGCUAUCAAACACAUACAAGCACAGAAGAAAAGAAAUACAGUAAAAUGAAGAACAUAUGCAGAAAUUUUUUUAACACUCAAACAAGCACACAAAAUGCAACAAUUAAGUAAAUGUAUUGAUGGAAUAUGAAUAAUACACGAAAAAUUGAUACCAAAAUCUAGCUGCCACAUUUAUAUCUAAUUAUGCCACUUUUCCCCCAAAUUUAUAUACAUUACAUUGUCUUCAAUGUGAAAAUUAGAAGGUUAAGAGGAAUAAUUAAGGAUAAGUACAAAGUAAAAGCACAUAACAUGGUGUACGAAACUUUCCUGAUCAAUAUGGAGGUGGUGGAAAAUUGGAACCCGCAAUCCCAUAUGUGAAGCCGACUUCUCCUUUCCUAUUGAGGUCUUCCAGGAGGCAUCCUACAAAAGUACAAAAUAUGUGUAUUAUAUCUCAUGGUGAUAAUUGAUGAACUUAGAUGCAUGAAGAAAUCCAUGUGACGCACCAUUCCCCCAAACUUUUUUCAUAGUGCAUGUAUAAAUCAUGUGGGGUGUGUGUAAGCCGUGAACUUAGUUUCAUAACAAGUUACAACUUAAUACUAUUUCAACAUGCUUAACUCGUGCACAAUGCAAUAGGACUCGUUUUGAUAUACAUGGGUGAACAAUGACCUAGAAAUAUUAAUAAUGUUGAAAACUUGAAAAACUCAUAGACUAAUGCAAAACGAAAUGAAUAAAGGUAGAAACGUUGGGUUGCCCAACCAGCGCUAUUUUAUAGUCGAUAGCUCGACUUUUGGCACAGAUGUUUUAUGGCACUUUAAAUAUGGCUAGGGAGGUCCUGCGUAGUUUGCUCAAUAUGGUCUUGUUCCACAUUGCAGUUAUCCUCCGAAUUUCAUCCUUAUCCUUUUCCAAGUGGUGUGACUUUCUCUCCUCAUUUGUAUGAAAUUCCACAUUGAAUGCCUUAAUCUCCCGUGAAUCAGUAAGAGUGGAUGGAGAGUGCACUAUACAGGCCUCAUGAACGUCUGGCUAUUUCUUCGACUCAAAAUUAUAGGGAAUUCCUUAUUAACCACUUCAAUCUAGAAACUGCUUUCAGGCUCGGUGACAUUACCUUGAAAACAUUAAAAGAAACAUGCUUUUGUCCCAGCCUCAAAGUUAAUUAUCCUUGUUACACAUCUAUGAGGGCUCUUGCAGUAGCCAAAAAUGAUCGUCCUAAUAUGAUAGGCACGUCCUUGUCUUCUUCUAUGUCCAAAAUCAAGAAGUCCGCUGGGAAUAUAAAUUUAUCCACUUUGACCAAUACAUCUUUGAUAAUCCCUCGUGGACAUGUAAGUGAUCGAUCAGCCAACUGUAGAAUUACUGUAGCUGCCUUAGGUUCUCCCAAUCCUAGUUUUCUAAAUAUAGAGAGUGGUAUCAAAUUAAUACUCACACCAAGAUCACAUAAUGCUUUAUUAAAAUAAAAAUCACUAAUUGUACAAGGGACAGUGAAACUCCUUGGAUCUUUCAGUUUUGGUGAGAACUUUUUUUAGAUCUUAACGCUACACUCUUCAGUUAACAUCAUCGUUUCAUGUUCCUCUAACUUACAUUUAUUUGUUAAGAUGUCCUUCUGGAACUUGGCAUAGAUGGGCAUAUGAAGUAGUGCAUCUACGAACAGAAUGUUGAUGUGGAGCUUUUUGAAGAUUUUGAGGAAGUUCUUAUAAUGCUGCUCCAUCCUUUGCUUCCUCAACCUCUAGGGAAAUGGAAAGGGUAACUCAUAAUGGUUAACUGGAACGGUGUUCUAUCUCUAGUGGGUGGUGGCAUGCUUUUCCAGAACCUGACUAAGUUGCGUUAAUUAUAGUUGAAAUGUGGCUCAUGUCUAUGUAAUUUUUUUUGUAGUUAUAUUGAUGGAAGUUAUGAAAUUUUAAAGAAAAGAUGUGAAAAAGGACCAAAAUGGAAUAAAUCAAAGUUCAAGGACCAAAAUGUAGAUUCCCAAAAGAUGAUUGGGAAGCAUAAACAAGGAUGUGAAGGAGUAAAAAAAUCAAUUUGGUGAGAACAUGGAGUAUUGGAAGAAGAAGAAAUGAGUAUAAACUUUAAAAACGAGAAACUAGAGUUCAGGGACUAAAUUGUAACUUUUGGGAAGUUUGUAAUACUAUGCAAUCGCAUAGUACAAAGCUCAAUAUAGUCGCAUACCUAUGUUCAGAAAUUUUUAGGGCCAAAAUCAAUUGAAUUGUGCAGUCGCAUGGAAUUGUACUAUGCAGUCUCAUAUUACAAACUCGACGGGAAAAAUCUGGUUUCUUGUUUAAUUAAAAUUCUUAUGGAAACAAUUUUUGGUAGCAAUAAGCUGUCAAAUUCAGAGGAGAAUGCAUUGGGAAAGAAAACACAUAUUGAAGAGAAUUUGGAGCCAUAACAACAAAGGAUUUCACAGAGAUUAACGGAAUUUCAUUUAAUUUAUUGAUUCGAUGAUGUUAUUUCUCUCAAAUAUCAUGUAUUUUGUUAUUCUCUACAUGUUAAGCUAGAAAUUUGUGUAUUAGAAGAUCGAUGAACCUUGAAAUGUGAUUUUUAACUCUUUGUUUCAUAUUUUUAUAAAACACGUUUGGAUUAUUUUAAAUGAUUUAUGUGCACUCAUUUUCUCCACAAUUAUUGUGCACGUAAUUUGUGUGAGUUGGGUGACUUGUUCUUGCAUUCGAGAGAAUUGGAAUAGGUUCGACAGGUUACAAAUCAUCGUAGGGUCUGAUAAGAGAUAGAGAUAUACCGCUAUGUCCUAUGUAAAUCUUUAAGUGCUCACAAAAUUGCAUGCGUUUUCAUAAAUACGCAUCCAUCAUAGAGAUAUAGGCUGGCGGUGUAUGAAAAUAGGUUCAGUGCUACUCGAGAGAGGGUGUUGGAUAGAUUUAGGAGCAUUGAUUUUUCAAAAUUCCAUCAUGUUGUCGGAUUGUGAAAUUAGGGUUAAAUUGAACUUUGCUCGAGAAUUCGUGAUCCUAGUACGUUUAAUUCUCAUUGAAUAAAAUCAAAUUGCGUUUCAGCCAUCAUAUUGCAUUCUAAUUCAUUUAAAAAACAUCAUUUUGCAUAUUUAGUUCACUCAAUCAUAAACAAUUGCAUAAACUAGGGUUUUCUAUAAUUAGGGUCUUAUAUAAAUUAGGGUUUUCUUAGGUUAAAAAUUUACUUUCAAUAAUCUAGUUCGGUUAAGGCUACGAUAAAUAAAAUUGAACUACUCAAUCACCAUGAGAUGAUAUUCAGACUCAAAUUAUCCACUUUAUUAUUUGUUUACGAAAUUAUUAUUUCGAUUUAAACCACCGCAAGUGUACGGUUUGUUGACAAGUAAUAAAGUGGAUAAAUUGAGUCCAAAUAUCGUCCCACAGAAAUUGAUUUAGUUCAAUUUUAUUUAUCCUGACCUUAACCGAAACUAAAUUAUCCAAAGUGAAUUUGUUUACCUAAGAAAACCCUAAUCCAGCUAGAUAUGCAAAUGUUAUGAAUUGAAUGAAAUAAUAUGUAAAACAAAACUUGGAUGAACUAAAAUGCAAAUUUAUGUUUGGAACGCAAAUUAUUUGUAAUCAAUGAAUGAUAAUCCACUAGGAUAACGAAUUCUCAAGUAGUAUUUAGUUUAAUCCUAAUUUCACAAAUUGACAACACAAUAAAAUUUUGAAGAAUCAAUGCUCCUAAAUCUAUCCGACACACUCUCUCGAGAAGCAUUGAACCUACUCUCAUAGACCACCCGACUAUAUCUCCAUUCCUUGAUGGAAGAAGUUGUGUUGAUUAUAUUUGGAAUGUGGCUUAAGUUAUAUUGAUGGAAGUUGUGGAAUUUUAAAGAAAAGAUGCGAAAAAGGACCAAACUGGAAUAAAUCAAAGUUCAAGGACCAAAAUUCAAAUUGUCAAAAGAUGAUCGUGAAGCAUAAACAAGGAUGAGAAAGAGUAAAAAAAAAAAUGGUGAGAACAUGGAGUAUUGGAAGAAGAAGAAAUGAGUAUAAAGAUUAAAAACGAGAAACUGGAAUUUAUGGACUAAAUUGCAACUUUUGGGAAGUUGUAGUACUAUGUAGUGCAUAGUAUAAAGCUCCAUGCAAUUGCAUACCUAUGUUAAAAAAAUUUCAGGGUCAAAAUCAAUUGAACUAUGCAGUCGCAUGGAAUCGUACUAUGCAGUCGCAUAGUACAAACCUGGUGGGAACAAUCUGGUUUCCUUGUUUGAUUAAAAUUCUUAUGAAAACAACCCGUGGUAGUGAUAUAAAAACCCUAGGGCCGUUAAAUUCAGAGGAGAAUGCAUUGGGAAAAAUAAACAUAUUGGAGAGAAUUUGGAGCCGCAGCAACGAAGGAUUUCACGGAGAUUAACGGAAUUUCAUUCAAUUUAUUGAUUCAGAGAUGUUAUUUCUCCCAAAUAUCAUGUAUUUUGUCACUCUCUCCAUGUUAGGCUAGAAAUCUGUAUACUAGGAUAUCGAUUAACCUUGUAAUGUGAUUUUUAAUUCUUUGUUUCAUAUUUUUGACAUUAAAACAUGUUUGAAUAUUUUGAAUGGUUUUAUAUGCAAUUAUUUUCUACUGCAAUUAAGAGCCCAUAAUUAUGUGAGUUUUGGUGAUCUAUUUGUCAUGUUCGAGAGAAGGAGAAUAGAUUCGACAAGGUAUAAACUAUCGUAGGGUCCGAUAAGGGAUAGAGAUAUACCGCUAUGCCUUGCGUGAAUAUUUAAGUGUUCAUUAAAUCACAUGCACUCUUGUAUAUCUACAUUCAUCAUAGAGAUAUAGUCGGGUAGUAUAUGAGAGUAGGUUCAAUGCUACUAGAGAGAAAGUGUUGGAUAGAUUUAGGAGCAUUGAUUCUUUAAAAUUUCAUCAUGUUUGCAAUUUGUGAAAUUAGGGUUAAACUAAAUACUACUGGGGAAUUCGUUAUCCCAGUGCAUUAUCAUUCAUUGAUUACAAAUAACUUGCAUUCCAAACAUAAAUUUGUAUUUUAGUUCAUCCAAGUUUCGUUUUACAUAUUAUUUCAUUCAAUUCAUAACAUUUGCAUAUCUAGCCAGGCUAGGAUUUUCUUAGGAAAACAAAUUCACUUUAGAUAAUUUAGUUUCGGUUAAGGUCAGAAUAAAUAAAAUUGAACUAAAUCAAUCUCUGUGGGAUAAUAUUCGAACUCAAUUUAUCCACUUUAUUACUUAAUGAAUCGUACACUUGCGGUGGUUUAAAUCGAAAGAAUAAUUUCGUGAACAUAAAGCCCCCGGUUGAUGAUAUGAUACUUGUGAAAUUAUUCAUAAAUCAUAUGAUAAGUCACUCUUCAAGACUUAUCAUCAAUCAAAUGGAGAGCAAGAGAUAAAAAUGGGUAAUGAAGGCCGUUCCAAAGUGGUGAAAAAAUAACAUGUUGAUAUCAUCUUCACUUCUGAAAAACCAUUACUUUGACAAGUGUACUAUAUGUUCAUGAAACAAAUAGGAAUUUAGAGAGUGGAGAUCUCCUAGGAAAAUUGGACAUCAAAAAUAUUUAUGAAUCCGAAAAACUUGUGCUACCCUAAAAUGGGAAAUUUGUUGAAAAUGACCAUUCUUGCAAAGGAAUGAUCAAGUUAUAUAUUUUUGACAAUAUUAAUAGUAGAAAAUUCAAUUUUGCUUACUUGAUCAAUUCAUUUUUUUUAUUGUAUGUUAAAUUAGGUCACAUAGGCAUUAAUUGUGAUAUGAUUUAAUACGAUGUGAAUAAUGCUUACGUUCGGCUCAGAGAGCACUUUUUCCGUUGAGAAUUCCUCGUUCUCUUUUGUGUGAAUUCCCCAGAAGUGAAUUCGAAAUUUGUAGAGCCCUCUCUAUUCCAUCUCUUGAACCCCAAAGAAAACCCCUAGAGUCUGAAGAAAAGGGCCCCAUUAAUCUAAUUAUAGGGCUGCAUUUAUCAUAAGUGACCACUGAAAAAAGUGUAGAAUCUAAAAUAGUUAAGAAGCCAUAUUAAAUUUUGUUCAUGACAUCUCAAAAUUUAGAACUUAUUGAUUUGAUCAUAUGUAAACUUAAUGGCAUGUUACCUAGAGGUGAAAAUUGAUAUUUCAUUACCUUUAUAUAUGGUUACUCUAGGUAUACUUAUGUUUAUUUAAUGAAACAUAAAUGAAACAUUUAAUAUAUUCAAGACUUAAAAAAAUGAAGUUGAAAACCACUUAAAUAAGAAAAUAAAAAUGCUUAGAAGUGAUAGAGGAGGAGAAUAUUUCUCUAGUGAACAUUAGUUGAAAUUAUAAAUGCCAUGUUAACAUAUGCUAAGUUGCCAUUUAACUUAUAGGGUGAAUCUUUGUUGAAUGUAUGUACAAUAUUAAAUAGGAUUCUUUCAAAAUUUACAGAGGUUUCUCCAUAUGAAUUGUGAAAAUUGAAGAAAAAUAAAUAUUGGAUACUUCAAAAUGUGGGGUCUCUUAUAUAUUGUAAGAAUACGGACCCUAAAAUGACCAAGUUGGUCCAAGAGGCAUUAAUUGUGCUGUUGUUGGAAAUGAUAGUAAUGGCAAAUCAUAUAGAUUAUCGAAUCUGGAAACCAAUGUGAUAAUUGUAUCAAAUAAUGUGGAGUUCUUUGAGAAUUCACUAUCUUCAAAUAAUAAAUUAAAGGAAAUCCAUAAAGAGAUUCCUAGCAUUAAUGGAACACAAGAUAAAACAUCUUUUAAAGAUGUUAAUGAAUCUAGUGAGGCUCAAAGAUGCAAAAUAACUCAAAUAGAAAAGACUUUAGGAUCGGAUGAAAUUGACUCUCAACUCGUUUCACUUUACUUAGUAGAAGAAAAUGAGAAGAAUGUUGUAAGAACAAAACAUUUUGUUUUAUAAGUGGACAUUGAUCUUAAAACCUAUAGAGAAACUAUCACUGCUCGUGAUAGUAUUUUUUCAAAAGAUGCAACUAAAGAUGAGAUAUAUCCAAUUAUGUCAAACAAUACAUGGGAUCUUGUCAAUUUACUUAUUGAGACUAAACCUAUUGAUUGUAGCUGGGAGUUUGGAGGAAAUAGAAUAUAGAUUGUUUUCUCAAUAUCUUUAAAGUUGGAUUGGUAGCUAAAGGUUAUCGACUAAGGGAAGGAAUUGACUAUUUUAAUACAUAUGCACAAGUAGCUAGAAUUGCAUCAAUUAUGAUAUUAUUCGCACUAGCGUCAAUACAUGACUUGUAUGUUCAUCAAAUGGAUAUCAAAAUGGCAUUUUUAAAUGGGGAUCUUGAUGAGAAAGUUUAUAUGGAACACCUGAUGGGUUUGUCAUGCCUUUAAAUAAACACAUGGUGCACAAUCUAUUAUUUCAUUUGGAUUUUCACAUAAUAGUGUAGAUAAGUAAUUAUAUUCGAAAGUAUGUGAUAAAUAUAUUAUAUUUAUUUGCUUGUAUGUUGAUGCCAUGUUGAUUUUGAAUAAUCACGUGGAUAGAAUAAAAGAAACAAAGAGAUUUAUAUCUUCAACAUUUAAGAUGAAGGAUCUUGGACAAAUGGAUACUAUAUUAGGUAUUAGAGUUCCUAAGAAUAUUGGGUGUUACUAUUUUAGUCAAUCGCAUUAUAUUGAGAAUAUGAUAAAUAUAAGUUCAAAUAUUUGAAUGUAAAAGAGUAUAGUACCCCUUUUGACUUAAGUUCUAAGCUUAUACUGCAUGGUGGAAGAGCAGUCGUUCAAUUGGAGUAUUAAAAAUGCUAUAGUGAGUCUUAUUGCACAAAAUUGGACAUAUUGUUUGCGAUUAAUAAACUUAGUAGGUUUAUUAGUAACUUGAGUAAGGAACAUUGGAAGGCCAUCAGGUCUUCAAUAUUCUAUGUUCGUGACUAUAUUAGAAAGAUUUACUAACGUUAAUUGUAUAUCAAGUACUGGUGAGAGUAAAUCUAAUUCAGGACGGGUGUUUACUCUUGUAAGAUGUGCAAUUUCUAAAUUCAGCCAUGGAAUCUGAAUUCGUGGCAUUAUCAGAUACUAAAAAAGUAGUUGAAUGGCUUAAGAAUCUACUAUAUGAGAUACAUUUGGGAUUGAAAAAUAUAUCUUCGAUAUCUAUUAUGUGCAAUAGUCAAGCAACAUUAGCAAAUGUAUACAAUGAUAUAUACAAUGGAAAAUCUAGACAUGCGAGGUUAAGACAUAACUACGUAAGGAAAUUAAUCAAGAGUGAAAUAAUUUUUCGAAAUUACUUCUAGUCAAUUGAGAACUUAGCGGAUCUUUUAACUAAACCUCCGAAUAGAGAUUUAGUUAUAUCUACUUCGAGUAGGAUGGGGUUAAAACUCUGAAACUAAAAAGAUCCAACAAUGUUGGCAACCAUACAUUUUAUUACUAAAACAGUAAUCCAGGGGUUUAAAGGGUAACAACAAGUCAUUAGAUAAGAGGAUAGUUUUAACAUUAUAAUUCUCGUAAGAAUCCUAUCCUAAUUAUAUAAUGUUGGUUGUUACUUAAAGGAGGGUUGAACGUUAAAGCUUUUAAUGAAGACUUCACAUAGAUGAACUUUGAGGUGGUGCCGCUUCAAUAGAGACUUGGAGUUUCUCUUAAAAGUUCAAUGAAUAGGAAGAGUGAAAUGCCAUCUUAGCGCGAAGUGAGUUUGAGGAAUUUGUAAACACAUGACAUUUGUGUUUCUGUGUGUUUUCACCGGCAUUAUUACAAAGAAUAAUUGGUGCAAAGCUAUCAUGCUACCUUUAAUUUGAUGAUAAUUUGUGAAAAUUACACUAUGAUUAUAUUCAAAUCGAAAGAUAUCUAAUCCGUAUUCAUAAAUGUUGCUAUUUUGAAUAGUUGUACCAUUAUACAGUUGAACAAGUAGGGGAUUGUUGUAAUUUGGUCUUCAAUUUAUAAUUAUAAAUUGGCAUAUAGCGCAAGUACAAAAAUAUCGAAAUUAAACGAUCAGAAAAAAAUUGAGAAAUUGAAAUUUGGAGAUCGCCCAGGCUUAAGGCUGGGCGAUUGCCCACCUUGUUUUCAAUGACCUGAUGCCAAAACCUGAUUGUCUAUGCUCAUUUUUUUACCAUUGGGUUUGAAAUUUUUGGUUCAUUUUUAGCACAUUUUCAUGAAAUAAUCCAUCUUUUCAUGAAUCAUUAAGGCAUUUUCAUGAUGUAUGAAUGAGAAUCUAUAUAUAUGAGGUAAAUUUCAUUCCUCUAAACAAUAAUUAAACAACCAACAGUUGAGAUCAUUCCAUAUUGAAAGAGCUUAAUCAAAGUAUCUUUACAUAUUCAAACAUCCUUUGUGUUCUAUAAGUUUUGGAAGUACUAGUACUUAAGGGUUUUCUUCUUCAAUACUUAAUCAAUCCUACAGAUCAUUUGCCAAUAGUCCCUUUAAGCACCAAUUCAAUUUAGAGAGGAAAAAUGUCAUUUGAGUACAACGAUGUCGUGUUUGAGCCUUUCCACCUUAUUUUUUUGUGUUCGUAAUUCUUCAUCUUGUUCUCUUCUCUAUUUCCCUUGAAGGAUAAUAUUCCAACAAAUGCUUAUUAGAUUCAGCCAUGUAAUCAUCAAUUUUUGGGUAUUUAGUCGACCACCCUUCAUGAAGUAAUGCUGAAUUUAUUUUCUUCUUAUGUUAUAAUUCCUAUUCUGAAAGUCAAACGAACAACCCUUGUGGAGAAUUGGUCUGUUGACUAGCUUUAAAGACAUUCUUUAUAUACAAUUGCAAGUAUUUUUAACCAUUCCUCUAUUCUUAGAAAUUGAUCUCCUUUUCUCUUAAAUCUUCAUCAUCUCAUUUUUUUCAUUUCUCCUUCAAGCAUACAGUUAUGAUUUCAGAGAGAGAAAAUCUGAAAGGUCGAGAGAAGAAAGAAAGAAAAUACAUUUUGUUGCAUUUCUAUAAAUAUUUUAAGGAAAUCAAACAUACAAACUUUUUCAAGAAAGAUAUUAUAACAAAGUUGAGGUAAUACAUAAGUAUAAUUUAUACACUUAUCUGAACCUUUUAAUAUGAAUAUUUGAGAAUACUUUUGAUGAAUUAUAACUUAAUCUCAUGUAUUUAUUGUUUGUUAGGUAAAAAUCAAUGAUUGAAAGUGAAAUUGGAAAAGAAGAAUGAAAAAUCAGUGAAAAUGAUGAUUUUCGAAGUUUGGGACUAAAUUGCAAAUAUUCAAUAAUUGAUCGGACCACAUAUUGAUAAUUGACGAAUAUAGAGAGUCAAUUCGACAAGAAUGGAAGGAAAGAAACUGAAAUUGUACGAAAAAAGGACCAAAUGAACCCUAAAAGAAGUUCAGGACAGUUGGUCACAAAGUUCCUAAUGCAAUGUGUGAGUAGGGCGAGUUUUUGUAGAAACCGAAAGCAAUUCAUGUAAGCCACGCAUAAGCAUGAAAGUAUACCAUGCAUGCAUUUGAGUAGACAAGAACUUUUCUUCUAUAGUUGAAACUCCUUUUGGAAACUAACUUCGAACGAUUUGUCAGUCUUAAUUCGACCCUUAUAAAUAUAGAACACAUCUCAAUGCCUCUGACUACCUAUCAUAUCAUAUAAUUCAUAAAAUAUUGUAAUCAAAGAGAGGCAAAUCAUCAUUCUUUUAGGAAAAUGAAGAUGUAAGCUACAAUAAUUCAAUCCUUUGAAAAUUCGGCCUUGAUUUUCGUGCAAACUACAAAUCAAGGUUUGCUUUUUGGUCCCUGUAUCCUUCUCUUGGUUUGCCUCAAGUCACUUCCUGAUUGCAUCUUUAGUUCUUAAUCCACAAAUUAUUACCGUAUAAUCUUCAUUCUUCACAAUCAUAUGUAAUUGAUACGAUGCAAGAUUCGAAUGUUUUCAAUUGUGUCCCCAAACUUCUCAAAUAUUGGAUUUAGCUCCCAAAAUUUAUGAAUUUUCUCCAACUGCUUUAUUAAUGCUUCUUAUUGAUCAUAUACAACUGCUCCAAAUAAGUAGCUCAAAAUGCCUGUCUUAUGACAAUUGCCUUCAACUUAGGAUUUCCUACAAUAACAUAUUUAAUGCAAAUUAGGUUUUUAUCUGUUCAAUUUAUAAAUAAUCGAUUUCAGAUUACACUUAUCAAGUUCAAAUAUCGUCCACUUGUUUUUCUCUUUUACUUUACUAGGAAUUCAUUCAAACUUAUAUGUUGAAUCUCUAGUUUGAUGUUAAUAUAAUGCAGUUUUAGUACUGUUUAACUCAACUUCUGAAUAUCAUUCUGAAAUGUCCAUGGAAGGUCGAGCUCGACUCCACUAAAUAAGGUGUAACUUUUGUUUUUACUCAUAAAUUCUCCAUCCUCAUUUAUCUUUAUUCGAAAAAGAUUUCCAAUGCACAGAUGGUUUGACUAAAAACUGUCAGCAUGACUUAAAUAGAGUAUUAGUUAAAAUGAAUAGGGUUUACAUGUUAGAUUCCUACUUGGCCUCUCACUUUCUUGUAAUUGACUAGGGAAGCUGAGACAAAAUUAAACAAUUUAAAUGGCAUAUAUCAUUUCUUGGACCGACUCAUUCAGAUUCUUCCAACCCACAUUUCUUCCUUUAUUUAUAAGUCCCGGAAAAAAUUAUUAUUAUUAGAUUGAAUUCCAAACCCUGAUUCCCGAGGAAAAGUUGACAUUAAAACCUACUGUCUAAUAUAAAUAACGCUUGCCUUAAUUAAUUAUACGAUUAGUAGUCCAGUUCCCAUUGUAAACUACAUAUAAUAUGCCUUUGGUCUUCCAAUUUGUUCCGUGUUGAUCGCUGAGACAUAAUUUCUUAAUAAAUAAAAAUAAAAAACACGUAUAAAUACGAAAACAAGAGAUUAAACAUAAAAGAUUACUGUCAUUUUGUUCAAAGGCUGCCUGGAAUCCUAGGAGAAUUCGAUUUAAAAUAUGUAGUUCUUGUCUGUUUUCUGCACUUAGAGAUCUAGUUUACAAAUUAUAAAGGUUGAGAUUUUUAUUUUAUUUUUUCCUUAGGAUUCAAUGCAGCAGUUUCUAGUCAAAUGUAUCGUGAAUAUAGAUUGUCCAUUAUGGUAGAAGUCAAGAUUUCACAAUAGAUGUGUAAAGUCUAACACGUUUAAUAUAUUACCAUUUGUAAUAAAUGGUACCCGUUGAAUAUAAUGGGGUUUCAUUAAAUUAAGAUUUGAAUGACCAAAAAAAAUGCAGUGUCUUGGAAUCAUUCGAGCAUCACUUAAAAAGUAAAGAGUGGUAGGUCAAAUGGUCGAAUUUGUUCGAGCUGGUACUUGACUUGUUAAUAUAGCUUUCACAUUUUUUCCCGCAAAAUGGAUACACUUUUCAAACCGAUUCCCAAUUUUUCUAAUUAAUUGAUUGGUCUGUCCGAUUUUCAAAAUAAUGUAAAACGUGGAAUUGUAGGGUUAUAAUUUUGACAUUCUCUAUGUGAUUAAUAAUAAAUGUAUUUCAAACACUUAUUUGGGACUUUAAAUAAUGAUAUUUUAUAGCUCUUUUGAUGAAAUGUACCCUAAUUUGUGUUAUACGUCUAAUAGGUAAAACUCAUGAACUGAUGGAGAAUUGGAGACAACAAGCGAAAAACAGACUAAAAGGCUAAAGCAAAACUAUAGAGAUUAAAUUGCAAUAUUUGAAUAGUCACGUCGGGACAUAAAAUGAAGAGUGAAGAUGCUACACGCUCAAUUGGAGGCAAUUGGAAGCUAAAGGUAUGAAAUCACAAUUGAAAGGAUAAAAAAUGCAUUGCGAAAAGUUCAGGGACCAAUUUGUAAAAUUCGUCCCAAAAAUUUGUACUAAACUUAAGCAUAGACCUACAAGCCUUGCAUACAAGGUCUCGAAAAUUUCUACCUGAGACUAAAUCACAUGUAUUGUGUUUAAGCACCAAAUGAAUCAUGCUUAAGCAUGAUUCAAUUCUGAGAAAAAAAAAUUGUUUUCUUAUCUUUUUUUUUUUUGUUUAACAAAAACUUUUGAUAUACAAUCUUUUGACACCAUAUAUAUACUAGAAGUCGUCAAAAACGUGAGGAACCCCCCUUUGUAAAAAAAAAAUUUUUUUUUUUUUUUUUUUUUUUUUUUUUUUUUUUUUUUGAACUUUUGAUAUACAAUCUUUUGACACCAUAUAUAUACUAGAAGUCGUCAAAAACGUGAGGAACCCCCCUUUGACCUAAAACUCACAUAUUCUAAGUAUUUUAGAGAAAAAGAACAUGCGAAAUCAUCAACUAAGGGCAAAUUAUAUAAGUUUAUUGAAGAAUAUUCAUCCAUUUUUCAAGUUUCAAGCCAUGAAAUUGGAUUUUUCCACUUUUUUCAUUAUUUUUCGAUGAGUAAUGUCUUUUCAUUAUUUUUUUCAUAGUUUAAUAAUUAGGAUGAUUGACUAGGUUUUCAAAUUGUAUUGGAUGAAUGUUUGAAACCUAUUUUCAUUUAUUUCAAUUCAAGAUUUCAAUUUAGGAAUUUCAUGUUAUUGUUUGAUAGAUUUUACAUACCGAUUGCCCUACUUAUUACCUGAUCACCAAUUAAAUAGUUAGUUUUUCAUUAUAGUAUAGAAGUAUGCACAAUGAAUCUAGAAUACGGUAAAAAUCAACAUAUGCAGUUAGAAUUAAGACUAAUCUCUCUCACAUAGCAAUCUUAUCGAUAAUCUAAACUAAAUGCAUGACUUUCAAAUGAAUUCAGACUAGGGAUAUGAUUGUCUAAUGUUAGUCAUAGAUUGGUGUAUCUUGAAAAAGACAUUUAAUAUAUUAGCUCUAUCGGUUGUCAAAAUGCUUGAAUUGAAUAGAAUGAUUAUUGAGAACUGAAAUAAAUGGAAAUAGGGGGAUACAUGAAUCCAAUACAAGCAUUCACAUUAGAUAUAAUUACUUUUUAUCACUUUUUUAGAGUAGAAUUUGAUUAAAUAACAAACAAAUUACAACUUUUUUGAUGUCAUCACACUUCAAAUUUAAUAAUAGUUAUUGAACUACAAAUUAGACAUUAUUUCUCAUGCAAACGAUGCUCGUAACUCACAAAUCUUAUUACUUGUACAAUGAACCCGUAUGUUUGCAGAUUUUUGUUUGAACAAAUUUUUAGCACCAUUGUUGGGAAAUAACGAAUUUAAUUUUAGUUUAGUAGUUUAUAUUAGCUUUGAUUUUUCAUAUUUAUUUAUUUAUGUUAAUUUUGGCUACCCACCUUAGCUCUCUAUGUGGUAUUCUUUCCAAGUACCCUUCAAUAGUGAAUCUAUAAUUUUGACGCUAGCAUGGUAAAAAAAUGUUAUAAAUAAUCUCAACAUGAACUAUAAGGAAGAAAAUAUCUAUUAUGAAUUCUGUCAUGGGUGCAUUAUACUGGCUACUGCUUGGAUACAUGCACUGAUCCCUAUCAGCUCAAUCUCAUACAGUUUAAACAAUAUUUAAGAUGUCAAAGUCUAGCAAUUGACAUAUCUAUUGAAGGCUACACGCCUGUGAGCAAGUGUCUCCUUUCCAAUACACUUGUGGGAUUUGGUCAUUCUAUGUUAAACAAGGAUGUGCUUAUAAAAUACAACACUGAUCUUGCCAAGUUAGAUGAAAACAAAUUGUGUAGAAGGGGAUGGCGUAUUAUGGUUUGAAUUUAAAAGGCCGAAAUAUAAUCCACUCAAAAAUUUUGAAAGAAAAUAUUAUUCAUGGCCCCAUAGAUUUAGAUUGUGAACCAGCCAUUCAACUUAAAGAGGUAUCAAUUAUGGAAAAUGAUAACAAAUAUGAUGAAAGUUCAAUUACAAACGAAAAAAUGAAGAGAAGGCAAUUAAUGAAGAACACGUUAACCCACAUUUUGUCGACUUCAUUGAUUGCCCUAUCAUUGAAUUUGUGAUUAAGCCUAAAGAGGAGGAAGAAGUUUACAUAGUUGAAUUUGAAUCGGAUGAGAUAGGCAAGUCAUGUCACAUUUGAAGGGCCAGUGUUAAAAUUUGUAAAAGCAACGAAUAGUGGAGCAAAGUCAAAAGAGGCAAACUGAGCAAGGCAUUCAAAGCGUGAGUAAUUAUACUUUAACAGGGGCCAUAAUAGGCCCAAUAAAGGGGCACCAAAUAGACACCCUGUCAUAGGGGCCUUGUCACACAAGCGCUGCCUUCAAAGCAUUAUUCUGAAUUCUAUGAUGUCGAAACAAUAAAGUCAAGUUAAGGAAUUUAAACAAAGUGCUUAUUGGAAGGCAACCCAAUCUUUCUUCCAUUUUAUUUAUCAUGCUUUCUAGUCAUAGGAUAAUUUAGAUUAGCUAUUAAUUUUAAUUAGGGGCUCAUCAUCCAUUUUCCAUUUUCCCUUAGGUCAUCGAGAUUUAGUUGCUUUGUUAGAUAUUUGAGUUAAGUAACACUUGUUUCAGAUAUUUGAUCUUAAAUGUUUUAUUUAAUCAUAAUGUACAGGAACAUGACGCUGCAGAACACUUAAACCAACAAUGGCCGAUAAGAAAAAGGGGAGAAGUAGGAAAAGGUAGCUAUUGGAUUUCACAUGCAUAUCAGGGGAGUAUUUUCUUCAUUUUAUUUCCCACCUUGUUAUAUGUGGAUUUAUAAUUUAAGACAUUGAAAAAAAUGUCUACUUUAAGUUUGGGGCUGGCAAUGAUGAAUAUAUUGAAUUAUGAAUUGAUUUAUGAAUAGUGAAUAGGUUGCAUACAUAUGUUAAAUUCUACCUUUCCAUGGAAGUUUGACAUAUAUUGAGCAUGUGAAUUAAGUCACGCAUUAUAUAGGAAAGAAUUGAUUUUAUAUUUGGAUAUGUUAAACCCAAAACCACUAAAUUUUACAUCUUUAGACCAAAUUUAGAAUAGUUUGGAGAGAUUUCACUAUUUUAGGGCAAAAGUUGAUAUAAAUAGGGAUUCCAGAUGUGAAAUUAAAAAUUUUGUGUGGAUUAUCAAAGGUCAAUAGGAUGAAAUUGGGUGAAAAUCUCAAAUUAGAUGUCGGUGUAGUUGGAUAGGUGUUUAAUGAGGGACAUCAUACUAAUUAAGUCAUAAAAAAUAUUUUAUUUGGAAAUUUGUUUUCGUAGCUUUUAUGACUCGGUUAUUAAGCUUGUAAUGAUGUUAAAACUUGUUGUUCUAGAGUCAACUGAUUUGGGAGUCAUUGACCUAAAGCACACUAAAUAUGUCAUUUAGAAAGCUUAAAGGGGGAAUGCUGUACAUAAAGAAAAAUAUUGUUGAAACAAAAAUUGAAAAAAAAUAGAAAGAAAAACAGGUGCAUUAAAUAGAAGACGCAUCAAAUGUCUUGGUUAAGUUUCAAACACUUGUUUAAAAAAAAAAAAAUUACUUUUGAUAAGGAAUUAUUUGUCUAAUUGAGUUAUGGAGAUUGAAACAAUCAAACUAUAGAGAAUCAUUGCUUAUUAACAUAUCGACUUGUAAUUAGUGAGAUUUGCCUAAUAUUAAGAGAUGAAGAUAGUUUAUAAAUUCAACCUUAGGCCAUACCUUGAAUAGAGUCAAAAGAAAAGUUUGGGGUGUGAAUCUCACAAGUGAGGAUAAGAACUUAUUUGAUUAUUAAGGGUUGGGAAUGGAAUAAUUUAUGAAUUCAUGAUGUUAUACUUAAUUCUUCACAUGUACACAUGUUGACUUUAAGUUGGAAUAAUAAACUUUGAUUUUUGAAUUAUUAUCUUGAAGCCGUGCUUAGAUUUAAUACCAUGAUUUCAAUUAUGAGGUAGAAUGUCAGGUUAGCUAGCUAAAUAUUUUUGCAUAAUUUCAUGUUUGUUUUUAAGUUAAAUUAUGGUUUUAUUUGAAGACAAAUAAAUGUUUAAGUUUGGGGGAUAGACAAGUGUAUUUUAUAUUUUUAUUUGGGGCUUUAAAUAAUGACAUUUUAUAGCUCUUUUCAUUAAAUGUAGCCUAAUUUGUGUUAUAUUGUGUCUAAUAGGUCAUUAAUUGAUGAGGAAUUGGUGAAAACAAGCGAAAAAAAUUGAGAAAAUGGCUAAAUUGAAACAAUGUGGACUAAAUUGAACAUUUCAAUAGUCACAUUGGGAUAUAAAAUGAAGAGUGAAAAUACUACAAGCUCAAUUGGAGACAAUUGAAAGCUAAAGGGGCGAAAUUUAAAAAAAAAAAUUGACUUUUGAUAAGGAAUUAUUAGCCUAAUUGAGUUAUGGAGAUUGAAACAAUCAAACAACAAAUAAUCAUUGCUUAUUAACAUAUUGACUUGUAAUUAGUGAGAUUUACCUAAUACAAAGAGAUGAGGAUAGUAUAUAAAUUCAACAUUAGGCCAUACACUUGAAUAGAGUCAAAAGAAAAGUUUAGGGUGUGAAUCUCACAAGUGAGGAUAAGAACUUAUUUGACUAUUAAGGGUUGGGAAUGGAAUAAUUUAUGAAUUCAUGAUGCUAUACUUAAUUCUUCACACAUACACACAUUGACUUUACGUUGGAAAAAUAAACCUUGAUUUUUGAAUUAUUAUCUUGAAGCCAUGCUUAGAUUUAAUACCAUGAUUUCAAUUAUGAGAUAAAAUGUCAGGUUAGCUAGCUAAAUAUUUUUGCAUGAUUUCAUGUUUGUUUUUAAGUUAAAUUAUGGUUUCAUUUGAAGACAAAUAAAUGUUGAAGUUUGGGGGAUAGACAAGUGUAUUUUAUAUUCUUAUUUGGGGCUUUAAAUAAUGACAUUUUAAAGCUCUUUUCAUUAAAUGUAGCCUAAUUUGUGUAUAUUGUGUCUAAUGGGUCAUUAAUUGAUGAGGAAUUGGAGAAAACAAGCGAAAAAAUAGAGAAAAUGUCUAAAUCAAAACAAUGUGGACUAAAUUGAACAUUUCAAUAGUCACGUUGGGAUAUAAAAUGAAGAGUGAAAUUACUACAAGCUCAAUUGGAGGCAAUUGAAAGCUAAAGGGGCGAAACUACAAGUGAAAUGAUCAAAAAUACAUUGCAAAAAAUUACAAAUUGACCCUAAAAAUUUGUACCAUGCUUAAACAUAUGCCAGCAAGCCUUGCGUAAGCAAGGUCUCAAAAAUUCUUAUCUGAAGCUAAAUCACAUAUAUUAUGCUAAACCACCAAAUGAACCAUGGCAUGGUUCAAUUUCAGGAAAAAAUUGUUUCCUUAACUUGUUUGAAAACUUUUUAUAUACAAUCUUUUGACAUUCUAUAUAUGUCAAAAGCUGUCCAAGACGUGGACUUCCCCCUUUGUCCUAUAAAUCACAUAUUUUACAUAAGAACAAAGCGAAAUCAUCAACCAAAGGCAAAUUAUACAAAUUUAUUGAAGAAUAUUCAUCCCCUUUUUAGGUUUCAAGCCAAUAUAUUGGAUAUUUUUUUUCACUUUCUUCAUUAUUUCUCAAUUUGGAUGAAAUCUUUUCAUUAUUUCUUGUAUAGCAAUAAUUAGGAUGGUUGGCUAGUUUUUCAAUUGUAUUGGAUGAAUAUUUGAACCUUAUUUUCAUUUAUUUCAAUUCAAGAUUUCAAUUUAGGAAUUUCAUGUUAUUGUUUGAUAGAUUUUAUAUACCGAUUGCCCUACUAUUACUUGAUCAACAAUUAAAUAGUUGGUUUUUCAUUAUAGUAUAGAAAUACUCACAAAGAGUCUAGAAUGCGGUAAAAUCAACACGUGUAGUUAGAAUUAAGAAUAAUCUCUCUCACACAUACAAUCUUAUUGAUAAUCUAAGGCCCCGUUUGAUUGUGUAAAAUUUUCCAUGGAAAAUGAAAAAUCAAAUCCAUUUUUCAUUUUUGCCUUGUUUGAUACCAUUUUUUUCCAGGGGAUCCAUUUUCUAGCUUGUUUUGGGAAGAAGCAAAUUCCAGCUUUUAAAGGAAUUGGAAUGCCCACCAUAUAUGGUGAGAAUUCCGAUUUCGGUUUACUGUAGUGAUUUUUUAUUUUAUUUUUUUUCAUUUUUUUUCAAUGAAAAUAAAUUGUAAGAAUUAUUGUAAAAUAAUAUUUCUCUUUACUUGACAAUUUUCAUGUAAAACGAAGUCAAACGAACACCAAAAGAUAGAUGAUUUUCUAUAAUUUUUAUUAUUAUUUAUUUAUUUAUUUUUGGGUUUGGAAAUGGAAACAAAUUUCAUUUUCAAUACCAGCAAAUUCCAUCAAUUUAAUUGACAAUUUUAAUGUAAAACAAAGUCAAACAAACAUAAAAACACUUUUAUUUCAGCAUUUUUCACGUGAAAAAAUUAUAUCAAUCAAAUAUAAUAAUUUACAAUUCCCAGAAAAAUAAUUUUAGGCAAUUUAAUUCCCUAAAAUUCAUUUUCUAGACAAUUUAAUUUCAUCUUUGCAAUCAAAUGAACCCUAAAUGCAUGGCUUUCAAAUGAAUUUAGACUAGGAAGAUGCAUCGUCUUGUGUUAGUCAUAGGUUGGUGUAUCUUUGGAAAACGGCAUUUAAUAUAUUAGCUCUAUUGGUUGUCAAAAUACAUGAAUUGAAUAGAAUGAUUAUUGAAAACUAAAAUAAAUGGAAAUAGGGGGAUACAUAAAUCCAGUACAAGCAUUCACAUUAAAUUUAAUUACUUUUUAUCACUUUUUUAGGGUAAAAUUAGAAUAAGGGUCCCUUUGAUUACAAGAAUGAAAUUUGGAUGGCAAGAAAACGAAUUCUAAGAAAUUGAAUCACCAUGAACUUGUUUUACUGAGAAUUCUCAAAUAAACGUGUUUGAUUAAUAUAAUUUUUUACCUGAAAAAUGUUGGAAUUAUGGAUAUUUUAGUGUUCAUUUGAUUUUGUUUUCCAUGAAAAUUAUCAAUUAAAGAGAUAGAAUUUGUUACAAUUGUAGAUAGAAUUUAUUUCUAUUGCAAAAAAAUAAAAAAAUAAAUAAAUAAUUAUAAAAAAAAAUUAAUAACCUAGAAAAUUGAUUUCCCAGCGAACCCAUAAGAAAUAAAAUUUAACAAAACCAAGGAAAAUUGGUCACCUGGGGAUCUAAAAUCAGUUGCCAAGAAAAUUCUUGUAAUUAAACAACGAAAAGGUAUUUUUUCCAUUUUCCAUGGAAAAUUCCUCAAAUCAAACAGACCGUAAGUAACGAACAAAUUUCAAUUCUUUUGAUGUCAUCACACUUCGAAUUUAAUAGUAGAUAUUGAAUUACAAAUUAGACCUUAUUCCUUUUGAGAACAAUAUUCUUAACUUGCAAAUAAUAUUAUCUGUACAAUAAUCUCGUACCUUUCGAGUUUUGUUUGACCAGUUACAUACAAAAUAUACCCUUUCAGUAUUAAAUGUGCAUGUAUAAUAUGCUACGUUGACAUUGGAAAGCAUAAGCAUGUUUCAAAUCAUUGAUUGACUUAUUUGUGUGAAUUAAAUACUUUCAGAUCAUUGGAAUCAGAAAGAACGUGUAGUAGUCCAACACAAAUUGUUACAGAGUUUGAACAAAAUGUAGAUUAUCUUUUAUUCUAAUGGGAUUAUCUUCCAUUUAUGCGUAGGCAUCGUGAUACCUUCAAAAACAUUAAAUGAUAGCUUAUAUAAAAUUAAUAUAUAUGUUGUGACAAAUGCACUUCAAAUUGACACUUAUUGUAAUGAUAAUCUGCUCAUAUCCAAUUUUUUAAGAUGACAAGAGGGGGAAAAUAAGAAAAAUACAAAUUCUUUAAGAUUUGCUGUUCUGGGUCCAACUUAUGGAAUGUCCACCAUAUUGUCAAAUUCUUAAAUGAAAAGGGGGGGGGGGGGGGGAAUUGAAACUAAACAUAGAGAAGACUAUGAUUAUAAUUAAUAAUGAAUACUUCAUGUCGUAAGCCCAACUUUUGAAGUGCAAUUGAGUUUUUAAAUGCGAUUCUCUAUAUGACUAUUCAUAAAAGUUGUGUAAGAUUUUGGCAUUUCAUGAAAAAAUCAAUCUUGUUUGAUAUGAAAAAUGUGUUAAAGAUAAAGUUUAAGAGAUGUUCAUGAGAAUUUAAAUUUUACAUAAAACGAAUCAACAACACUGUCAAAUAGUUACAAGUACGAGUAUUGAUGAAGAGGGAACUACUAAUCCUCCCGAACAUUCUAAAAGAAAAUAAAAGAAGAAAGAAGUAAUUGAACACAUUUACAUCAUACUAUACUAUAGAACUAUUUAUUUAUUCUUUUUUUUUUCAAGUAGACUUGAAAAAAAUUAAAAAAUUCUUAUCAAGAGUAGUUCUCAUAUGUUUUUUUUUUUUUUUUUUUUUUUUUUUUUUUUUAUAUGACUCAGGGAUGUCAAUUACGUAGAAAAACUGCUAAAACUAAUUGUUAAUAUUGUUAGUAAUUAUAUUAUUAUUACUACGCUAAUUGAGGAGAGUUGGAAAAGUGGAUCCAGUGUUAACAAUGAAUAUAAAUUAAUAAAAGAGAUUAAAUAGAACCCUUGUGAUGGACAGAGCGUAAAAAAACUAUAAUAAAAAAAGACAUUAAUAAAGCAUGUGUUUUUGAGCAAUUAGAUGUGUUAGAGAAUACUUACAUGAUUUAGUCCAUGAAUUUUGUAUUUUUCACUAUUAAUCUUUUAGAAAAUUGUUUAUAAGCGUGUCAAUAGACUAAUUAAGCCCGUCCAACGAGACGCAUGUAUAAGCUAAACAUGAUCAGUAAAGUUGGUUGUACAUGGCCUUGUACUAUCAAGGACGCCACAUGGUGCCCCUAUAGGUGAGGGGCCCACGAUGGUAGUACAGGGCCCAUGUGACCCUGUACAACCAACAAGGUCCCACAAAACAUAACAUCAUGUCGGACUAGUAGACCUGGUUGUCUUUUCAUAAAUUUUGGGGCAUCUUGACAAGACUAUUCAUAGAGUAUCUUCUGUAUAAUAUAGUUUUUCCAAAUUUAGAGAGUAAAUUUUCUAUAUAUUUCAGCAAUGUUAUCUCUUUUUGCUCUUUAUUUUUUUCCCUCUAAAAAUAUUCAUUGGUUUCUCCUCAUAUAUUAACACACUUUUUUUAUAUGUCGAUGGCCAUUCAAUUCAAAUAUAUUAAAUUACAUUUGAAUAAUUUAAAAAAUAUAAUCUUGAAAUAUGUAGAUCAUUAAAUGUAAUCAUUACAAAAUAAAACAGAGAGUGGGUUUAACUCUACUACUUUAAAAAAUUAAAAUAGAAAGUCUCUUGAAUAUGUUCUUAUUAUUAUUUUUUUAAAAGAAAGAAAACAAAAAAGGAGCCCGUAUAGUACUUGAGCUUGAAAUCACUUGAGCUGCUUCUCUAGACAACCUUACCUAAUUUAGACUAGAACAAACAAGGAUCAUGUUACAUGUACGUCAUAUUUGACAUAAAUGUUUACAUAAUACCACAUGACAUUUUAUUAUUAAAUAGUUUAGAACACAAUCAUUUUUUUCAUCCAAUCAUCUCCCACCACAUACCAUUCUAGCACUGCUUCUGAACGGUUUCUUCUAGCGAAGUAAAUUAAUCUGCCAAAAAAAGGGUAGUCUCAAGCCUAAUUAUUUGUUUAUAUUUUAUUUCCCUUGAUUAGCAAUCGACAAAACGUAUAAAUAACCAUUAAACGAAUAAUAGAUUUAACCAGACAUUUUUUAACUUCAAAAGUUGAAAGCCCACACGGUGAGCCAAUAACCCACCAUAGGCUUCACGAUCACGACCUCAAAAAGUCUGGAGGCAUAACCUACGAUUUACCUCCCUCACGAUAUUCCAGGGUAGGGGUGGUGGGGAACCCUUAAGGUUAGGGUUUAACCUUUUGAUCACGACCUCAAAAAGGAUGUUGGAAUAUGUGUCCAUUGAUUAAAUGUGUUGGGGUCUAUCUUAGGGUAAAGAAAUAUGUGGGACAUAAUCGACACUAAUAUUGAGGCAAUAAGAAAAAAGGAAAAGUUAUAAAUUAAAAGAAACAUUUAUCGUUGCAGCUCAUAAACGUACUGUUAAAGGCAUUAAAAGUUUUCGGUCUACGUUCAAGAGAUUAUUGACCAAAAGAUGAUAUCUUUCAAAUUAAAAAAAUAAUAAAUUUAGAACCUGUUUGACAAAGAUAAAAUAAAUUGUUACAUGUUUAGCAGCUUAACACUUUGAAUCGGACAAAAUUUUUGUAUGUAGCAAGAAACGUGUAAAUAAGUAAAAAUUGAUGUGUAACUGUAAAUUAUAUUAGAUGUGUAACUUUUAAUCGGACAAAAUUUGUGUAUGUAGCAAGAAACGUGUAAAUAAGUAAAAAUUGAUGUGUAACUGUAAAAUAUAUUGAAUUUUUAUCAAAAGAUUUUAGAAAAAUAUAUGUGAUGCUUCAAAUGAACUUCAUGGUACUAAACAAGAGGAAUAUAGAGCAUAUUUCAAAUUUAAAAAAUAAAUAAAAGAUAGUUUUACAUAACUUUUUAUUUAUAAAUUAACAAGUUUAAAAUAAGUUAAUUUUUCUUAGGUUUAAGUAAAAUUAUUACUCGUUAGAGAAUAAUCCUUACCUUACCAUUAAGAUAAGUAAAAUACACAUUAAUUUUAAAAUUUACUUACUUAAAUAAACCUUUUAAGUUUAAUGAAACAUGCUUUACAUAUCUCUACGAAUCUCCUUGAUUUAAAUUUUAGUAUCAUAGAAAACAAAAUAUGAUACAUUAUUUUAAUAUUUGAUUUUAAUAUUGUCGAUUCGAUAUUAUCUAAUCUACAAUAAAAAUGUUUAUGAUGCAAACUGCAAAUCACAUUGUAGCCGAACUCUCUGGAACUGAAGUAAAUGCAGUAUUUAUUUUUACAUCUUUUCGUAGGACUUCUAAAGUGCAGUAGAUGUAUCUUAACUAUCUUAUCAUCUGAGUAGUGAGAUGAACCUCUUUAUGAGAAUAACAUCCACGUGCAAUAUUGCUAUUAUUACUUUAUGCAUUAUGUACAGCAAUUUUAAGAGCAUCAACUCUAUAUUUCAGAGAUACACAUUAUGCACCAGAAAAUUUAAUAAAGAAUUUACCAUUCUCUAGAUGGUUUUUUUUUUUUUUUUUAAACCACCGAAAAAGUAAAAAAAAUAAAAAGCCAACAACUAUGAGAGGAGGAGUCGACAAUAAGAUAUCAACAUUAAUUGGUUUUCAUUUCGUGAAAAAACUAUAAUUAUGAUGAAAAAUAAGUUUUUGAGCAGUUAAAAUAGUGGCUUUCGUUGAUCUUUAUCAGGAAAAUAUAAUAUACUAUGAGCUUUCGGUGUUUUUAUUUCCUAAAUUGUCACAUAUUCAUUGAAAAUAAAAAAUAAAAAAUUUAUGCACGUUUCAAUAAUAACUAAGAUUUAUGAUGAAGUUGUUAGAAAUAUAUAUCACUUUAUUUAGACCAAAAUGUGUGAAAUUAAUCAAUAAAAAGCAACACAUCACUUAUUUAUUGUUUCAAGAUGAUUAAGGAUAAUCAUAAAAAGUAAAUAACACAAAAAAUUGAUGACAGAAGAAAGUCCCUUGAAAAACUCUUCACAACGAUAAAAAUCUCGAGGCAAACAUUGCUAAAAAGAUCAACUAGAAAAGCCAAAACCCCUUGAAGCACUCUUCACAAGGAUAAAAAAAUCUAUAGACAAAUCUUGCUAAAAAGAUCCACUAAAAAGCUAAAUUACAAUUGGUCCAACAUUGCUAAACCUUAGCUGAAUUUGACCAUCCAACUUGUAAAUCACCAAAUAACUCUUUGAUUGUGCGAACUACACUUCUCAAAAACUUUCGGCUACUUUUUCCUCCAUGUAGAUUACCAAGAAUGAAUUCGUUCCGGAGUACUAGAACUCCAAGUGCAUUUUCUUCAAUUUCAGAACUUCGAAGGCUUAUAGGUGAAGGUAAGAAUUUUUGGCAUUUGAUCUUUGGUUGAAACAAGAGAAUAAUAGAAUCUACUUGAUGUUCAAAUGUUUUGUUGACUAAAAUUAAGCCUCAACCAAUAACUCAAGAUGUCUUGAAUGACUUAUGAUAAUUUGAUCUUAGGUUGAUCUUGGGUUUGACUCAAGAAAUUUGAUCAUAGGUUGAUCUUAGCAAGUGAUAUUGUAUCGAUUUUUUCACUCCUUCAUGACUUAUUCUACCAAUCCAAAAUUAUUUUCACUUCAAUUACAACUCAAGAAAACAUGAUUUUGGACAUGGGAAUAGCCAAUCAUAGUUUUGACCUAACAAACUUCCCUUUUGACAUUUCGUGACAAAAUCAUUUAUUUUAAAAUUAAAAUAAAAACAAACUAACAUUAUUAACCAAAAGUUAUUUCUCAAACUUCAACUUUAAGAGCUUGUCAUAUAUGUUUCGUGAAACAAGUGCAAAAAAUAAUACCAUGUGUAAAAGUGAGAGGAAAGUGACAAUUAAAAUGUAUAACUAAAUCUUAUAAAAUAACGCAUGUAAACCAUGUUUAAUACCAAAGCAUGUAAUACUAGGUGUAUCAAUAACUUAAAAAUGAAAUAUAGAAUAUCAAUAUCAAAAUUGACAAAACACUAAAGAGAAGAUCAAUAUUACAAUUCCCUUAAAAAAUCUAUCAAAAACUAAAAAAUUUCUACGACGCUACUUAAGUCAAUUAACUCGAUAAACAUCUCCCUAACUCCUAUACAAACUUCCUUGACAUAAAUAAAUACUUAACUAACUCCCUUUUUGUCAUGAAUAACUAAGGAAAACAAGUGAUAAAAUCAUGAAAAACACAAAGACGAAUGAGUGUGUGUGUGUCUAUAUAUAUAUAUAUAUAACACGUGAUGAGAGAGUAAAUUUUUCUUUAUUUUUGAAAUAAUUUUUUUUCAUGGAUUCUUAAAUAUAACAUCAAGAAUUGAAAUAUCAAAUCAUGUGAACAAUUAUUUGCUUACUUAUACAUAUAUAUAAUUCAUAAAAUGUGAACUUUUUCCACCGAAAUCAUUUUAAACCUAUUUGUACUAAAUUGUAUAUGCAAGCCAUGUGUGAAAAGUGCUACUAAUCUCCUAUAAGCAAGACUUAAAACCAAACACUAGUGAGAAUGGAUAUGGAAGGAGAUCACUGAUGAAUGAAUAUUUUCGUCAAAUUAUGAAAGUCAAACCCAGCACUACUAUGACAAUUUAAUCAAAAAGCUCAUAUUUAAUUUUUUAUCAUAUUACUUUUUUUCUCUCUCUCUCUAUUGUGAGCAUAUGUACUUUUUUAUUUUCUAUCUUAUGUGUAUACUUUUCUUCACUAAGCUUAUGAUUUGAUUCCACAAGUGUAUGGAUUGUGACAAAUAAUAUAGUGAAUUUAUCAAGUCCAAGUAUCGUCCCACAGAGACUACUAUUUACUAUCAAUUUUUAAACUAACAUAGCAUCAAUUUAAUUACAAUAUUAACCAAUUUUCAAAUCAAAUUUCAGUUUGUAAAUAAAGACUACUAAAUUAAUUAACUAAAUCAAAUUAACAUGAUUGAGAAGACUAUGAGAUUAUGAACAAUGAAAUAAGAAUUUUCUGUAUUUCUUCAUUGAAUUGUACAAACCUAUUGCACCCUAUUUAUAGUACAACAAUAAAAAAAAAAAUCUAAUUUAGGAUACAAGAAAUUAGCCUAACAAUUCACUUAAGUUAUAGGAAGAUAUAACCAAUUAUAUAUCAAACAUGAUUAAUCAUACAUCGAUCAUGAUUAAUCAUAUAUCAUUCACGUUGGAUCGUUGAUGUUGAUCAUAACCAACUUGCAGAUGAAAUCAUCAAAAUUGUGCCUUGGUAAUCCUAUGGUGAAAAUGUCCGUAAUUUGUUCUUUUCUAUGAACAUAGGUCAUACAUAUAACUCCAUCUUCCACCUUUUCUUUGAUGAAAUAUCAAUUUAUUUCUACAUACUUAGUUCUGUCAUGUUGAACGGAAUUAAAAGAUGUUGAUGGAAACUUUAUUAUCACAGUAGAGCUUAAUCGAUAAUUUUGUUGUGGCCUGUAGUUCUUCUAAAAGUUACUCUAAUCACAAUCCUUCACACAUCCUUUGUGCAACAGCUUUAAACUCAGUCUCAGCACUGUUUCUAGCUACUACAUUCUAUUUUUUUACUUCUCCAAGUGACUAAGUUUCCCCAUAAAAAAGUGCAAUAUUCACUAAUAGACUUUCUAUCCUCAGUUGAACCUGUCAAUCAACACCUGUAAAGAUUUCCACUUCCUUUCUUUCACAUCUCUUUAAAACUAGACAUUUUCCUGGGGUCCCUUUGAGAUACCUUAGUAUCUUGUACACAGCUUCUUGGUGAGCUUCUUUUGGCGAGUGCAUAUGCUGGCUUACCACAUUCACUACAAAGGCAAUAUUAGUUUAGUGUGUGACAAAAAUAGUAGUUUACCAAUAAGCCUAUGAUACCUUCCCUUUCAACUAAUUUUCCUGCAUCUUCUAUCCUUCUUUCGACUUCAAUGGGUAUGUCACUUGACUUACAACUGAGCAUGCCCGUUUCAAUUAAGAAGUCAAUGACAUUUAAUUCUGAGAGAUACUUAACCAUUUCUUCAAUCUAGCCACCUUUAUUCGCAAUAAGUACUGCAUUUCUCCCAUAUCUUAACUUCAAAUUCAGUGGCUAAGACCUUCAAUCUUUCUAUCUGCUUGAUACUAUCUCCAGUUAGGAUGAUGUGAUCCACAUAUAAAAUUAAAAUUAUCUUCUUUCCAUUUUUCUGCUUGUUGAACAUAGUCCGAUCUGAUUGUCCCUAACAAUAACCUUCCCUUUUUAUCACCUUUGGAAAUCUAUCAAACCAUACUCUAAGAGACUGUUUAAGUCUAUACAAGGACUUCCAACUUGCAUACAUUGUUUUUUUUUCUCACUUUUUACAAAAAUCUGGAGGUAGUGUCAUGAAAACCUCAUCUUCUAGUUUACUAUUUAAAAAAGCAUUCUUUAUGUUGAGUUGUUGAAAUGGCCAAGGACAAAAAAACUCAGACUUUGUUCAACUUAGCCACGGGUGUAAAGGUUUUUGUGUAGUCAAUGCCAUAAGUUUGUGUAAAUCCCUUCACAACAAGAUAGACUUUAUACCUUUUUAUCGUCCCAUCUGCUCUGCAUUUCAUAGUAAACACCCAUUUACAACCCAUUGCUCUCUUUCCAUGUGGUAAAUUCAUCACCUCCCAAGUUUAAUCUUUUUCAACGCUCCCAUUUUAUCAAUUACAAUGUCUCUCCACUUGUAACUCUCCAAUUCCUCCUAGAUAUUCUUAGGAAUUUUCACACUACCAAGGUUAGAAGUAAAAGCAUGAUACACUGUGGACAAUGCAUUAUAUGAUACAUAUUUUGAAAUGGGAUAGAAAGUAUAUGAAUGAUGUAACUUUCUGGGUGCAAUGGGUAAAUCAAUAUCAUCGGGUUUAGGAGCAUUAGAGGGAGGUUCGAUUACCUAAUUUGACCUAGGGAAAGACUCUUGGUUGUAAGGAGUUACCAUCUGUUUAGACUUAAUUGGUUCUUUAAGCUUGAGAUUUUCAUUAGGACUUGAUUUGGCUUUCAUGAGUAAACCAAUACUUCUAUGUUUUGGUGUUUUUCUGCACAUUCCUCUGAGUGUAAGCUUUUUUCUAUAAUCGACAAAGAUGUGGAUAAUAAUGCUGGUUUGAUAGAAUUAGUGUCUAGGAAAAUCAAAGAAAAGAGAUUCACCAACCAAGUGAUUUAAAAUUUGAGAUUCACUUACAUUCUCCCUUGAAUUGAGGACUUCAAGUAGAAAGAAGUGGUUUCAAAGAACUUACAUCAAGACUAACAAAGGUGCAUGUGGUAUGGGAUCGUAGAACUUGUAUCCUUUUUGAGUUGGUAAAUAACCAAGAAAAUCACAUUUUAUGGCUUGAGGUUCUAGCUUAGUUUGCUUAUGUGUAUGGACAUGUACGAUACUGUACAUCCAAAGAUUUUAAGGAGAAUAGUGGAACUAAGUCGAGAAUGGGAAAAGGCAUCUUGAAUUUUUUGAAGAAGGAUGAUAAAUGAAAGGACUUGACAAGGCAUUCUAUUUAUGAGAUAGGUUAUAGUCAAGAUAGCAUCGUCCCAAAAAAUUUUAGCUUGUUGGUGGUGAACAUUAGGGCACGAGCUACAUCAAGGAUAUAUCUAUUUUUUCGUUUGGCAAGGUGCCGACACAUGAACUCUGGUAAAUGAUGCCACAUUUAUGAAGAUAAAGACUCAAACACUGAUUAAAAUAUUCAACACCAUUGUUGGCACGUAAAAUUUUUAGUUUGGUGUUGAAUUGUAUUUGGAUCAUAGAGUGAAAAUUGAUAAAAAUAGAACGGACUCUAGUGUUAUCUUUCAGUAAAUAGACCUAACAAAGUUGUGUAUAGUCAUCUAUGAAUGUGACAACCCCUUUUGUGUGUGUUCAAAUAGGAAUACGAGAAGGACCCCAAACAUCAUUGUAAAUCAUAGUGAGCGACUUAGUGGGUUUGUAUGUUGACUUUGAAAAUAAACUACGUUGAUGCUUUGCAAGUUUGCACAUUUCACAUUGAAUAUCAAGAGACAAUUUAUUAAAACAAAGAGCAGGAAAUAAAUGUCGCAAAUACUAAAAAUUAGGAUGAUCCAUCCUAGAAUGCCAUAACAUGAGUUCACUAUUGUUAGAGAAAAAACAAAAUCAUAGAUAGCAUCUUGACAUUGGUUAAUUAUUUUAGCCUACUCAAAGUAGUCGAAUUCUUCACACUCUUCAACACUGGCUAUCAUCGUCCUUGAUGACAGGUCUUGAAAGACACAAUUAGAGGAAAGAAAUUUAGUAGAGUGGUUAAAGUGUUUAGUUAGCUGACUUAUAGACAACAGAUUAUAAGAUAAUUUUGGAACAUAGAAAACUGAGUUUAAAGUGAUAGAAUUGGAGAAACAGAUACUUCAUUUGCCUUUAAUAAGAGAAAGGGAUCCAUCUGUAAUUUUUACUUUCAUAUUUACAGCACAUGGUGAAUACGUUGAAAAUGGAUGAUAAGAAUCAGUCAUAUAGUUAGAUACUCCUGAAUCUAUAGUCCAUGGAAUAUGAGUAUGAGAGAUGGUUAAGGCUUUCAAAGGAUUACCUCUAUGGGCUAAGGAACCAUAAGGAAUGUUUUUUGUUGACUAACCAAAGGAUUGAAGAAUAGCAAUCAUUUCAUGAUCUUUUCUAAUUGACCUGAAUUUGAAGUAUCGCUGCCUAGAGUGGACUGAGUAGUUUUCUCUUACUUUUGUUUUUUGGUUCGACUCAUGCGAGUUCCCAAAAUCAACAAUUCUUAGUUGUUGAUGGAUGUGUCUCCCAUUGUUAGCUCAAUUUAGGAGAAAAUCGACUCUAAUACCGUGAAGAAUGAAAUAACAAUUUUCUGUAUUUCUUCAUUGGGUUAAAUCUAUUACACUAUAUUUAUAGUUUAACAACAAAAAUAAAAAAAUGAAAAUAUAAUCUUUUAAUUUAGGAUACAAGAAAUUAGCCUAACAAUCCACCUAAGUUAUGGGAUUAUUUAAUCAAUUAUAUAUCAAUCAUGUAUCAACCAUGAUCAAUCAUGAUUAAUCUCUAGAUUCUAUAGAUUAGUUAGUUUGGUUUUCUAAUUUCACUUAGGUAGUUUAACAUUUAUUUACAUCUAACUCAUUUAGCCCCUUUUGUACAUGCCAACGAUCGAAUUAACCUAAUAUAGCUAGUGAUCUCUCUAAAGCAACACUAAUCCUAUUCACAUGUUUGAAUUUACCAUAUCUCUAUAUUAAUUCAGACACAUAUAAAUGCAUUAACCUAUAGGAAUUCCAAAUGGUUUGCAUCGCCUAUAAUAAUAUCUCGAUCUCUUAUGAUAUCUAUGUUAUUUAUUGCACGAGCUAGAAUUAUACAUAACCUCUCAGUCUCAAUACUAUCCCUAAAUCAAUCAAUUGUUACGUAGGCAAUCAAAGCAUUAAUAACACAAUAAAUAAUUAACAAGUAUGGAAGAGGCUUGAAGUCUUGGAAUUAAACAAAAUAUUAAAAACCUUAAGUCACAUUGUUCAUCCUUACAUGAAAAGUAUUUAGCCACACUUAAUAUCGAAAUAGAACACAUAAAAUUUAAAUGACAUCACCAGGUUUAUUUUCAAUAGAUAAGAUAAAAAUCCUCCAAAUUACUGUUGAUCUUCGCCGCACGAAUUCCAACAAUUGUUCUUCGUCUUCUUCCUUGCGUAAUGUAAUUUUCCUAGUAAAUUGACGACAAAAAACGUGAUUAAUUCCACAAAUCUUGCACAAAAUCAUGGUGAAUUUUUUUGUAAAAAUUUGAAAAAUAUUUCUCUGCCUUUUGCCGUCCAUGUUCUGCUUCUUCUCCUAUCAGUCUCUUCUUUUUAUUUCCAAAUAACCCCCAGCUUUUUCUCUUCCAAAAGGAAUCCAAUGCCCAACUUCUGUUUUUAUUCCUACAUUAUCCAAACUCUAUUUGUUUUGUGUGCCUCCAGCUUCUGUUUCAAGAAGGAUUCUACUUUCCAUUGAAUUUCAUUAUAAUUGUAAGUCCAAAUGGCAAGGCCCGACAAUGUUUGAUUUGUGUCCAAGUCAUCAUUCUUUAUAAUCAAUGCAAAUUAGUCCUUGAAUUUCUAAAGUGUGAAAUUUGAUCUCAAAGUUAUAGCUUUUAUCCAAUCUUCCCCUUCUUGAUCUGAGUUUUUCCCCUACAUAAUAAAGGUACAAGAUAAUUAUGUAUCAAUUUCAUAAUAAUACUAACAAAAUUCACUUUUGAUGGCUUAGAGAAGUGUAAAUUUCACACUUAUCAGCUUACUAAAUGAAUCAUGUAACGAGUUUUAGAUUGAUGACUCCUAAGUCAAAUGAUUAUAGGUACCAAAUUUUAAGAUACCCAGAAAGAUUAAUUACUCAAGUCGGUCGGGCUACGAAGAAAAGUAUAAGAUAUCUCAUUCUAUAAAUUCAAAUCUUUUGUAACUCAAAAUUUUUUUAUUCUUUCAAGAGAAUAUAAAAGAGCUUUGGUUGACCAAUUAAAGGUUAUAUUAUAUUCAAAGUCAACUCACCUACACUGAUUACCUUAAUUCCAUGACAAAUGCAUAUGUAUAGAUCUAAAUACCUAUUCAAUGAAAAACACAAAUGCUCUUACCUUUAACAGCAACGCGAACAAUACCGCAAUGAAUACUAUCACUUUAACCUGUGAAUUCAAUCUUUUUUACCCAAACCUUCUUAGAAAAAGAAAUAAUCUUAGUAAAUUGAGUCGUCAAUUCAGUCAAGUGACUCACUUGAUUAGUCAAGAAUCUAACAUGAGAAAUUGGAUCUAGUUUGUUGUUCCAAAUCUAGGGCUACGACACUUAGGUGUUAUGUGACCUAAAACACCAUAAUUAUGACGAGUGUGAAUGAACCUAAACCUAUUUUAGGUUGAGAAACCUUAUAUUUCAUAAAACUCUUGGUCCUAGGGCUACUAAUCUCUUAGACUUGACAGAGUCAAGUGCAAACUUGGUGUUGGAAGAUGAAGCAACAUGGGUAUUAGGUUUAUUUAAUACUAAUAUAUUGUUAAUCAUCUUAAAACUAUUAGUAAAUGAUUGAAGCUGGGCAUUAGAUUUCUCAAGGUUACUAGUAAGAGUCUUAACCUUUACUUCUAAGGACACCUUUUCAACGCUUAACUUAUUCAAUCUACUAGUAGACUCUACAAGUUUCACCGCAAUGCUAUCCUUUUUUUCAAACUUAAGUUUAUGUAAUUUCUUAAAGGCAAAGCUUUUGACCUUUUUCAACUUAAGGCACACCUCAAAUAAGUAAUCAAAAGCCUUAUUUGUAUCAUGUUCAUUUUCUGACUUUUCCUAUGAACGGUUAAGUUUCUCCAUUUCCUUACGUGACUCACUAUUGACCAUAGAUGUGAAUGCCAUAUAAGUCCAUCUCUCAUUAGAAUGGAAUUCUCACUUUGAUUAUCAAAGAAAGAUUCUUCAACAGCUGGAGUAGCAUUCAUAGCCCUUCCUAGGGUUUCCUUGUAACUUGGGCACUCUGAUUUAACAUGACCAAAACCAUGGCACUCAUAACACCUAACAGGCCUCUUCCAGGCAUCUCCAACAUUACUCUUCUCUCUUUUAUCUUUACUAGAUGUAUUAGAUUUACAUUUAAACUUCUAUAGAGCUUUCUCACUCUUCCUUGAAAAAAAUUUAAAUUUCCUAACAAAGUAGGCAAGCUUCUCAAUUGUAUCACAGUCUGCUUCUUUAAUAGUUUUGAGGGUUAAAGAUUUGUUCAUCUUAGACACAAAUGGCUAAAUUUAUAGGUUUGGAGAAAUCCUACAAGUUCUUAUAUCUAAAAGGCAUCUAGGUCUUUGCUUUCCUCAAUAACAGCAAUUUUAGGUCUUAACCUCGCAGGUAGAGAUCUUAUAACCUUUUUCACAAUCUUAGCCUUGGGGAUUCAAUUACCUAGGUUGAAACUAGAGUUGAUUUUGUCAUUUAAUUUACCACAGUAUAGAUUCAUCAUCAAUCUUUUUAAUUUCUUCAAAGCUAGUGGUCAACAUCAGCAAUUUAGAGUUUUUAAUGGUCUUGAUUUCCUCAUGUGUGGUUUCUAAUUGUAUAUCCCAAGCAUCUUUUGCAAUAUCACACAUGGACGCUCGUUUAAAAUACUCAGGCGAAAUAGUCAUAAAGAUGGCAUGUAUCUCUCUACUAUUUUAGUUACAUUGAUUUAAAUCAUUUUUAGACUAAGUGAAAACAUCUGUAGGGUAGCUAAGGUAUAUGUAAUCUUUCUUAACACUAAUCGAAACUCGAUCACCUAUAGACUUAGGAAAAACUCUCAUUCUAUCCAUCCAGUAUAUGUAAUUAUUAUCGUUAAAGAAUGGAAGAACGAAAAUUGAUUGACUCAUCUAAACAAAUAGAAUUAAAGAUCGCAUUUAAGCUCUGAUAUCAUUUGUAAAAAAAAAAAAAAAUUGAUUGAUAUAUAUAUAUAUANNNNNNNNNNNNNNNNNNNNNNNNNNNNNNNNNNNNNNNNNNNNNNNNNNNNNNNNNNNNNUAUAUAUACAUCAAAAGCAUAAAAUGUAAACAAUACUAGAAAUUGAUGACAGAGGAAAAUCCCUUGAAGAACUCUUCACAAGGAUCAAAAACCUCUAUUAAAGCUUACCAAAAUGAUCCACUAGAAAAGCCGACUUACAAUUAGUCCAGAUAAUACUAAACCUUAGCUGAUUUUGACCACUCAACUAGUAAAUCACCGACGAACUGUUCAAUUGUGCAUCUCGCACUUUUCUACAACUCUGGGCUACUUUUCCCCUCGACGUAGAUCACUAAGAAUGAACUCAUUUUGGAGUACUGAAUCUCCAAGCACCUCUUCUCUAACUUCAUAACUCUGAGGGCUUAUAGGUGAAGAUAAAAGUUUUGGUGUUUGAUGUUUAGAUCUCCUUUGUUAAUGGAAUCAAGUUGAUCUUCAAUGGAGCACUCUCUUGACUGAAUUAUGGUUCAACCAAUAAUACAAGAUGUUUGUGAUUAAUUAUGAUAAUUUGAUCUUGGGGUUGAAUCAAGAAUAAUUUAAAUGUGUUAUGAUCUUCAAAUGAUGUUCUCUAAUAUGAAAUAAUAAUUCAACACACUUUGGGAUGGACAAAUGCUUGAAUAUAUAUGAUAGUCAGUGUUUGAAGUUGUAUAGAAUUGGAAAACAACUUUAAAUUGCGAAAAGGACUUUUUCAGAUGACUACGCCACUUGAGCGUUGGGUUAGUGUCUAGUAAGCGACCGAUCCACCGCUCGAGCACCAAUCCAAGCGAACGAUGAUGCUCUUAUUCUGGACACUCGAGUGCGCCAUAUGCAUUCAGCAAACUAUUUCAUGUCGACUUUUUCUCUUUGGUACAUAUUUGACAUCUCUGACUUCAUGACCUAUGCUAGCUAAUCCACAACUAUUUCGACUUUAAUUAAAACUCAAAAAUAGCCAAUUACAAUUUUGACCUAUUAGAAGCAUUAAUCAUAAAUUGCUUCCCAUUCCAGAUUAAAGAAUAUUUAUUCUUUAAUUUAAACUUCGACGAUCUAGAUAACAUUAUUCUUUAAUUAAAUUAUAUGAAUUCUUUGGUCAUUUACGCAUUGAAUGAGUUAAUGAACUAUAUACAUACUAAAGGUAUGGGUAAUCGGUAUAGAAUGUCUCUAUAAUUUUUUUUUAUUUUUUAUUUUUGGUUUUAUUAAAAUCGUCCAUAUCAUUUCAAUUCUGCACAUUCUUCCUAUGUCCAUUUCCUCCGUUAAACUAUUGUAAUAUGGUGAAUUUACACUUUUAUUUAAAUAAACGAUAAGAAAUAAAAAAACAUAAAGAAAUAUUUUCAGUUAGAGUCUCAAUGUUUCCAAAAUUGCAAAUAAGUUCCACUUAAAAUAUUAAAAAAUAAAAGAAAAAUAAUAAUAAAAAAAUCCAUUCCCCAUUCAACUCCAACUAUUCCAUGCCCAACUCCCUUCCUCCACCACCACCACCACCACCACCACAACCACAAAAAAAGGGGAUCAACGUUGGUUUACAUUCUUAUUAUCAGGAAAACCAAAUCGAGUUCGCUGUGGAUUGUUAUAUUAUCAACUACUACAAGCUUCAUAUUUGGUAGGUAAUAAAACUUGAGAUUUUCAAGAAUCAAAUUAUCAUAUUAUGCAAGUAUAAUGCCCAUAAAGUGUUUGAUCUUAAGCUUAAGUGAAUUUUUUUAGUUUAAUAUGUUAAUUGUAGGUAACUUGAAUUUGUAUACAACUGCCCUGGAAAAGGUAUUUUGGAGCUUAACUAGAGUUGAUUCAGAGCAAUUUAAGAUCAAUUAGAAUGAAUUUGAUCAAUUAGAAGAAUUAUUAUAGCAAUCAGAAGAAAUUCACUAGUUUUGGGGAGCUAAAUCUAACUUUAAAAAGCUUGGGAAUUUAAUUUCAGACUUUCGGAACUUGUAAUAGAUCAAUUACAGUUGAUUGUGGAGUGAAAAAUUAAGAAAAGAUUCGAGUUAAACCAAAGGGAAAAGUUGAGUACCAAAUUUAAUGAGAUAUAAAACCUGUGAGUUGCAAUCGUGAGCAUAGCCUUGUGCAAUUGCGAGGUCUAAAAAUUUUUCAGCUUCAAAUAAAAAUCUUUUGCCAUGUGAUCGCAGUGAACAUGUCUAUGUGACCAUAAGAGAUUUUCUAUAUUGAUUAAAUAUCUUCUUUAAAAACAAUUAGAACACUAUUAUUGAACUAAAUCUUGUGGUUAUGAAUACUCACAUUCAACCAUUAAUUAAUCGAGACUCUUAGGGAUACAUUAUUCAUAUAUAAUUCAGAAGAUAAGCCUAGGAGAAAAUUUGGAUUAAAGAAUACACAUAUUUAUCAAGUUUUAUCAAAGCUUUUGUUACAGACUUGACCAUAUAUACUUUCAUAUAUCAAUUACUUGGGUCAAAGAAGAAGAAGAAGAAGAAUAAAUUCAGCAAUUCAAGUUUUCUGUCCAUGUUUCUUCUAUUUUUUAAUUAUGUGUGAAGUUGUAUCAAUUGAUAUUUAUUUUUGUAAUAAGAUGAUGCUUGAUUAAUUGUAUAGAUUGUAGGAUAACAUUAAAAAUCUAAUGGCUUGAUGUUCUCAUAUUACUUUCUAGAUUUUGACAUUAGAUACAUGUUUUGUUUUGAAGGAUUGCUAGGAGUCUGAUGCUUUUUCAUUUACUUAAUCACUAAAUGAGUUGUGUAUGAUUUUUAUUUGACUUCUAUAGGUCUAGAAUCAGUUUAAACCAAAACUUAGUGCAUAAAAUCAAGAUUUCUCAAAGACGUAACAAGAAAUUAAAGAACACAAGAAAUUUUUCAUAGGUUCAGCGACCACUUCUAAUACUUAGUCCCCCAUUGAGCAUCCGUAAGUAUUAAGCUCAAAUCAACUAUACGGGCCAAAAUAGGUAAAAAAAUCGAAUUACAGAACACAGAGUUCUCAAAACUCUAGUACAACACAAUCUUCCUAUAGAGCAAACUCACACAAGAGUUUCUCUUCUAUUUUCUCUCCAAAAAAAAAAAAAAAAAACACUAUGUAGUUUUAGAGAAAACACAAGAUCAGAAUAGAGAAGACAAAAGGCACGCAGCCAGAAAACCCUAGAGAAUGAUAAAAAAAACUUAACCCUAAAGUCACAAUAACCUAUUUAUAUGAGACUAAAAGAUCUAACGGUAAAGAACUCACCACUUGUCACCAUCCAGGAGAUUAUUCUUUAAACCGAAAGCUUGUUAGUUAAAUAACACGUUUUUGCCAAAUCUAGAAUCUUCCAAUUAUUGGGUCAUCAACUUGGAUCAUAAAUGUGGGCUUAAAGAAAUCGGCUUUGAGAUACUUGGGCCUCAACAAAAUUCAGCAACCCAUAUUUUACAAUCUCCACCUUUAUUGUAUUUUGUGUCUGCACUUGUGUGGAUUCCAACUUAAUCUCUUAAGCUUCAUUUUCUCUUAUUACCUAUUUACAAAGAAAAAAAAUUAGCAAGCUUCAAGAUUCAACAAUCUCAAAUAAUCUAAAAAUUUACUAAGUGGUAUUAUGUGUGUCCCAGCAUCUGUAGAAUUUACCUUAACAGGUAUUUUUACCAAUUUAAUAUCACCAUUAUCAAUUAUAUCUCUAACAAAAUGAAACUUAACAUCAAUGUGCUUUGAUCUAUCAUAAAAAAUUGGGCUUUUACUUAAUAAAAUGGCACUUUGAUUAACUGAGCACAACUCCACUUGAUUUUCUAUAAGACCUAAUUCAUUUAACAGACCUCUCAACCACAAUCCCUCUUUUACAGCCCCUGUGGCAUAAUAUAUUCUACCACGGUAGAGGAUAAAGAAACUAAUUCCUAAAGUUGAGAUUUCCAGCUGAUGCACGUAUUGUUUAUUACAUAAAAAUAUGCAACUGUAGAUUUCUUAUUAUCGAGAUUUUCAGCAAGAUUAGAAUCAACAUAGUCUUUAAGUUUAAAACCAUCUUUAUUUAUUUUGAACAUGAGUCCUAGAUUACAUGUAACUUUCAAGUAUCUAAUCAGGUUUUUCAUGCAUUCCCAAUGAGACUGUCUUGAAUUACUCAUAAAUCUAUUUAAUACACUUACAUCAUAAGCUAUAUCAAGUCUAGAUCACACCAUUACAUACAUGACAGACUUAAAAACAUUAGCAUAUGGCACAUUCAACAUUCUUUUAAGUUCAUCUUCUAUCUUAGGUGACUAAUCAGCAGAAAAUUUCAUGCAACCAGACAAAGGUAAACUAAUAGAUUUAUUAUUUUCAAGGAAAAAUCUUUUUACCACUUUUUCAAUAUAAGAUUUCUAUGUUAAAAAUAGUUGACCAUUAAUUUUGUCCCUUAUUAUUUCCAUACCUAAAAUUUUUCUUGCAGGACCUAAAUUCUUCAUUUCAAAUUCUAAUUUCAACUUUUCUUUUACGAAAUUAAGGGUGACAGAAUUAUGAUCAGCCAAUAGCAUAUCAUAAACAUACAAAAUGAGGUAAAAGAAUUCAGAAUCACUAUUCUUUUUAAAGUAAAAAUAUGGAUCAUAAUCUGAUUUUUUAAACUUUAGCCUUGUAUAAAAGAAUCAAAUCUCUUAUAUUAUUGACUUGGAGCCUGUUUUAGGUCAUAUAGUGAUUUAUUCAACAAGCACAUCAAACCCUUAGGUUGUGUCAUAUAUAUGGUUUCAUCUAAAGAUCCAUACAAGAAGGCAGUCUUCACAUCACGUUGUUCUAAUUCUAAAUCAAAAUUAGUUACAAUGGCAAGAAGAACUCUAAUAGAAGUGUACUUUACUACAAGUGAGAAAAUCAUAGUAUAGUCUAUUCCUUCUCUUUGUGUGAAGCCUUUUGCCACAGGCCUUUCCUUGUAUCUUCUAUCAUUUAUUUUUGAAUCACCCUCUUUAAUCUUAUUCACCCAUUUACAAUCAAUUAGUUAACAUUCUUUAGGUUUCUCAACCAAAUCCUAGGUUUUAUUUUUAUACAGGGUGUUCAUUUCAUCUUCCAUAGUCCCAAUCCAUUUAGAAGACGCCUUACAUGAAAUAGCUUUCUCAUUAGAGGUUGGUUCUACUUCAGAGGAUUCAAACUCAGGUUGAUUAGAUACAUAAUCUGCUUAUUGAUAUCUGGAAGGAAGUCUUAUUUCCCUUCCUUCUCUAUCCCUAGCAAGCUGAUAAUUUUGCAGCUCAUGUGCAAGAUUUAAUACCUUAUUAUCAUUCAGAACUUCAUUAUCUGGAUUGAUGUAAAUUUUUGUUUGAGGCUGCUCCACCUCAAACUGAGCUUGCUCAGCAGUAUUUUCUUUAUUAAGAUCAAUUUCUGUGAUAACAAAGUCAUCAUCCCUUAACUUUUCAUUGCUCUUGUCACUAAGACAUGGAAAAUCAUCCUCAUUAAAGAUUACUGACCUAGUAAUUAUUAAUUUAUAUCCUCUAACAUCUCUUGACCAAAGUCUAUAGCCUUUAACUCCUCCAUAUCCUAAGAAGACACACUUUUAUGACCUAGGAUCCAAUUUUGAGUCACUAUAAUGUGCAUAUGCAGCACAUCCAAAAGUUCUAAGAUAGGAGUAAUCAAGCAUAGAGCCAGACCAAAUCUAUUUAGGGAUUUUGUUAUUUAAUGAGCUGGAAGGACAUUUAUUUAUUAAGUAGGCUAUUUUUACUACUUCUCCCCAAAAAACCUUAGGCAUGCCAGAACUAAUCAGCAUGCACCUUUUCCUCUCAAGAAUAGUUCUAAUUAGUCUCUCAGCAACUCCAUUUUUCUUAGGUGUAUAGAUGAUAUUUCUAUGCCUCAUUAUGCCUUGUUUACAACAGUACUGAUCAAAUUCUGUAAUGCAAAAUUCCAACCCAUUGUCAGUUCUAAGGACUUUAAUCUUCUUACUUGUUUAGUUUUCAAUUAAUGUAUUCCAUUGCUUAAAGAUAGCAAAGGUAUCAGAUUUAGAUUUCAGUAAGAAGAUUCAUGCCUUCUUGGAAUAAUCAUCUAUGAUAAAUAAGUAAUAUCUAUAACCAGACACGAUAGGCAAUGGUGCAAGACCCCACAGAUCACUGUGUAUGUAUUCUAAAACAAUUUUGAAUUUGUGAGUACCUGCCCUGAAGGGCAGCCUGACUUGCUUUCCCAUGAGAAUUAAUUCACAAAAAGUUAUUUUCUAAACAUUGUCUUUCCCAAAUACCCCUUGGUGUGAGAGGGGUUUUAAGUCCUAUUCACCAAGAUGAACAAGUCUCUUGUGCCAAAGUUUUAACUUAUCAGAAUGUGUAACAAGAUUUACAAAGGUAUUAUUGGGGACAAAUUCAGUGUCUAUAACAUAGAUUCCAUUGGUUUUAGGUGAGCUAAUAAUGAGAUUUUGGUCUCUAAUUAUGUUUGUGAACCCAUUCUUAAUUUCAAUAUGAUAUCAUCAUCUACAACACCUAGUGAUAUUAAAUUUCUACUUAGUGCUGGUACAUAUCUAAUAUGUUUCAGCAUUAAGUAAUGACCAUUCUUCAAUUUUAAAAAGAAUAUUACCUAUGCCUCUAAUAUGGCAUGAUUCAUUAUUUCCAAGUUUUACAAAACCUCCCUCAAGGUUAGAGAAGUCAGAGAACCAACUUUUAUUGGGGCUCAUGUAAAAUGAACAACUUGAAUCUAGAAUGUAGUUCUAAUCAGUCAUUUCAAUUGAAAAUACAUAAGCAACUCCAAAUAUUGGCCGCUGCUUCCUUACAAAAAGCAGCCAUAGAUAAUGAACCAUUUUCAGAGGUAGGGUUAUUUUUCUGGUCAUUGGCUUUCUUGAAGCAAUCUUCAAAAAAGUUACCUAACUUUUCACAAUAGUAGCACUUUUUAUUCUUUGCCUUUACCCUAUUGAAUUUCUUGUCCUUUCCUCAAUUGUUGGCCCAUUUUUUAACAAUAUUUUUGUCCUUGUUAUGAUCAGUGUUACUCCUUAUAUUAAGUUAGUCAUCGAAAGCAACAUGUGGAAGCCCCACUGACAACAUUGGAAGAGUCGGCCCAAAUAUAUGAAAAGACGAAGCAACAAAGUUACAGAGACUACAGAACUUGAAGCCCUUGUUCUGGCCAAGGUACCACUCAACUAGAUACAUACUGAAACCUUGAAGAAGGGUUUAUACCGAAAUCCUCAUGUCCACGACCUGUUGAAGUUCUAAAAGAUGAGGCUGAAGUCCUAAGAAAAGAAGAAGCUGCCACAUUUACCAACUUGACGAAUAUCUUUGUGAAAGACUAAUUAGACGUCUACUUCAUCUUGUGUUAGGAAUAUCAGCCUAGAAAUGUAGGGCAGUUGACUCUUUGUCAAUAUAAUAAAUGCAUGUGUAAGAAGGACGUGAUGUAUAGAAGAAUGAGGUAAGGGCAAAUGGUUCGAAUCCAGCGGCCACCAUGUAUUCUCUAAACUCUAUAUAUAUCCUCCCCUUAGAAAAAGAAAAGGGAGAUAUGUGUGGAACAAUAGAAAAAAACAUAUAUGGAAAGAGAGCAAGGAAAGAAAACCCUAGAAAAAGAAUAAGGAACGGGUAUAUAAUUCUUGGCAUACUUUGGAGGGAAGAAUGAGUACUAUUCCAUAUAUUUCAAUCCAUUAGAUCUCUUAUUCAUUUCUCUUCUUCUUCUUCUUCUACAAAUAUACUUACACCACAUAUACUACUAAAAUACGACCACAUAUACACUGUUUUUCAACGACUCUCGUUGGCCAUUUUCAAAAAUCAAUAGAUUGGCGCCGUCUGUCGGAAGCUUGGAAUAGCUAAGCCACGAACACCCCGUGGAAGAAAACCUUUGAACAAAAGGUAACGAUCUUGAAAAAGAGAUACGGGAAAGAGGCAACUCAAAAGGAACUUUGCUAAAUUCUUGAAUAAAGGAAAGAAAUUCCUGGAAUAGAGCUAAAAAGUGGUUAUUUGUCGAAGAGGUGCAGCCAUUAGUUCGGCAGAGGAAGAAAUUGCAACCAGGUGAACUAGAGAAGGCCUAGGCGAGAAAGCACCCUUGCAAAGCGCCCCAAUAAUCCAGGAGCUACUGUUAGCUAUUUCAGCAGUUUGCCACCAAAGAGGUGGCUCAAGGAGCAGGCCCAGGGUAGCAGCGAGGUUCGCUAGGGAAUUGGCCAUCAUCAUCAUAAACAUAAGGACAAUCUCCCAAAAAAAUGUUGCAAUGCAAGAACUCUUAGGGCGUAUGCAACGUCAACUGGCCAACUCCUUACAAAAUAACAAAGAGUUUGUUUCGUCGAAAAGAGAGGUGGGUGUGGACAUGGUCGCCAACUACGCCACCCACCAAAUGACUGGAGAGAUUGUCGGUUUGCCAAACUAAGAGGGUAAACACGUCGAGGAGUUCGGCUAGUGUCUUCAAUAGACUUGGUCCUACGAGGAACAGGCAGGACCGACCCCACAUUUUGCCUGCUCAAGCCAGAUUUCCUCCUAUCCCCUUAAGCUAGCCAUACCUAUUUAACCAUCCAUCAGUGGGAGGUCAGCAUGGACAAUCUCAAUCGAAAGCUGUAGUGAAACUCACUCAUAGAUACAUACAUCACACACCUAGGACUAGCUCGGAUGCAGGCCAACCAAGACUGACCUCAUGAGGAGAAAAAUAUACGCUCAAGGAAAUGAGCAUCCUAAGCAAAGCCCACUUUCAAAUAGAAGCGCUAAGGCAUAUAAAUGUCGGUUCUUAUCCAUAAUCAUGACAAACAUGAGCCUACCUUCACAACAAAUCAAUGAAUCGAGUGCACAAGCCUCACAAAAAAUGAUCUGUUGUCUUUCCCAUUCCAUCCAAAAGAUGUGGUCGGGGGACAGAAGUCUUGAAAACCGCCCCCAUGAGAAAGAUAAAAGACCUAGCCUAAAAAGACGAGCUUCAAUUUUGGUCGUCUCAAGCUGAAUCCUCUUGCAAAAAAAGGCAGCGAGGCUUGCUAAGGAAUUGGCCACUGUCACAAACAUAAAUGACCAUCUCCUCACAAGAGAUGCUAAGGCAUAUGCAAGGUCAAUUGGCCAACUCCUCACAAAACAACGAAGAGGUUGUUCCGCCGAAAAGAGAGGUGUGUGUGGACAUGGUCACCACUACACCACUCACCAACUGACUGGAGAGAUAGUCGGUCCGCCAAACGAAGCAGAGGAAUCACGUCGAGGAGUCCAGCCAGUGUCUUCAAUAGACUUGGUCCUAUAAGGAACAGGCAGGACUGACCACAUAUUUUGCCCGCUCAAACCAGAUUUCCUUCUAUCCCCUUAAACCAGCGACACCUAUUUAACCCUCCAUCAGUGGGAGGUUAGCAUGAACAACCUCAAUAUGAAGUCGCAGUGGAACUCACUCAUAGAUACAUGCAUCCUCCACCUAGGAAUAGGCAUGAAAGACAAGUUGCAUUAGCUCAGAUGCAGGCCAACCAAGACUAACCCCACGAGAAGAAAAAUAUAUGCUCAAGGAAAUGCACAUCCAAAAAGUGGGCAUCUUAAGUAAAGCCCUUUUGCAAAUAGAGGGGCUAAGGCAUAUAACUGUCGGUUCUGACUCCAUAACCUUGACAAACAUGAGCCUACCUUCGCGACAAAUCAAUUAACUGAGGACACAAACCUCACAAAAAAUGAUCUGCAGUCUUUUCUAUCCUAUCCAAAAAAAUGUGGUCAGAGGACAAAAGUCUAAAGCAUUGCCCCCAUGAUAAAGAUAAAAGGUCUAGCCUAAAAAGAUGAGCUUCAAUUUUAACCGUCUCAAGUUGAAUCCUCUUGCAAAAAGAGGCGCUAAGGCAUAUAAUUGUCGUGGCGGGCCCUAUAAUGUCAACCAAUAAGAGCCAAUCUCUUAGCAGAUCAAUGGCAAAAAAGAGUGUGAUCUGCUAUCUUCUCCAACAAAGCAAAGCCAGAGCAGUUCAGGCAUAAGCCUCAUAGAAUUAUAUUCUCUACUGAAACUUUGCCUCAAAAGGUAAAGUUCGACUCUCUUGUUGUUAAUGGGUUAAAGACUUUGAUCCCAUCCAAAAAGGCAGAAAAAUGGAGGUUCAGAAUAGGUUGAAGAGGGCAUUGCCCCACCUUAUGUAUAGUCUCAAACCGUACAAUGUACUUGUAAAAGAAAUAUGUUCAAAGAAAAUGUGAAGAAGAAACCACCUCGAUAGAAGUGUCCUCAUAUAGAAAAUGAUAAGGUAGGACCCCAUAGGGGCCACCCCAUAAAUGCAUAAAUCCUUUUUGAUUAAUUGUAAAGAGGGACCAUGCAUGAGCCGACAGCUCAGUCUCGUGACAUGAAAAGAAAAACAAUUACAAGUGUUAAGACUUCGACUUAGGCGAGAGGUUCGACCCUCUUGCCUUAGAAAAAAAUAUACAUAUAUAACAAGCAAAGAGCUUCUAAAAAAUAGGGAACUCAACUCCCUUCACAAAAUUCUAGUAAAAAAUUCGAGUUAAACAACCUCGGGCAACAUAAAGUCUGGCUCCUUCCUCGAAAAUUUAGCAAAAUGCUUGAAAUAAAUAUCUUUCCCCAUAACUCCAGCUCCUUUAUCAACACUUAAAAGUCAAAGACUUAGCCUACUUUAAGGCUUCAGAUAACGUCUACGAUAAGUGCUUGUGCAAAUUUAUAUCACUUUUAAGUUCCCUACAUGUAAAUAUCUAUGUAUGGAUUCGAGGACUAUUGUUAUUACUGUUAGCCUGCAUGUCACAUUAUGGCUAGCAUCCUUUAUGACUCAUGACAUCGUUUUUACUAGCGCUGGUAUACAUGUCAUGUUACAUACAAUGUCAUCAGGUACAUGACCUACUAUGAUAAAUGAUAGACUUCUCCCAUAUUAUAUCUUGAAAAAAUAUGAGAAGCCAUUUAUGAGUAUUUAGAAGGGCAAAAUGGACCUCGUGCUUAUUUGGUAUAUGUACAUUGGACUGGUUUAGUCCAUCUUACCAAGGAGAUGCUACUAAAAUUUCGACAAAAUAUAUGACAUUUUGUGAGGCAAUUCGUUUGAGGAAUAGAAGAAAAUAUUAGCACAAAGAGGCAUUUAAAAAGUAUUAACCCAAGAGGCCCCAGCCCAAAGAGGCCCUUCGAAAUAUAUGAGCUCAAAAGACAUCAGUGAAAAUUAGACCAAAAGAGGCACUUUGAUAAAAAAGAGCUGGACCCUGAAGAUGGUCGCCUCCAAAAUGAAAAACCUAAAAAGCACUUGAAAAACGGGCUAAACCUUAAAGACGUCUACCUUAAAAAUGAAAAUCAACCUCAAGGGCAAAACAAACAAAGAGGUGGAUCCUAUAAGGACCACCUUCAUGAACAGACAAGUUGCUUAAGAAAAUAUAAAAAAAUAGGGGGCUAUAACAAAGGCACUACCCUCACAAAGCGCCCCCAACUAUGAAACAGUAUAGGAAUAACCCAGCUGCCCAGGAGAGGUGCAUCGAUGCCAACCCUUGAGGAUCCACUUAGUACCACUUGGGGCACUUCAGACAGAGGUCACACUCUAUUGCAACAUAGUUUAUUUGAAGCAAUGGACGACCCGUUGCAAUUCGACGCUUCUCUCAGAGCGUUCAAAGAAGAAUGUGCUGAGGUUGCAUUUUCAUUUUCACCGAUCCAAAAAUCCAAUGCAUUAUAUCUAGGAAUUAUCCAAUUUGCGCACUCCAUGGCAUCGUUCGAAACCAAAUAGUCCCUUACAACAAUUUCCAUCAAAAUCUACCAAGUGAAAGUAUAUUUUCGAUCAUAAUCUCAAAAACACCCAUGAGCCAACAUGACUUUAUACAAAUAAAUGAGUAUCCAAGCAAAUGAGCCUUUUAUAGGCAAACACAUGCAUUUUCAACCAUCGGAUCUCAAAGAUCUGAGCCAUCUAAAUGUGGGUCACAUCUGGACCCUU